Molecule: long non-coding RNA, 48016 nt
Filed under: Panicum hallii
Lineage: Eukaryota; Viridiplantae; Streptophyta; Magnoliopsida; Poales; Poaceae
Description: long non-coding RNA (PHAL_LNC000953)
Source: RNAcentral
CCCUACCUCUCUACAGCCUACACGCUCCCACUUUACAACCCUGCUAUGCUAUCUAGCCUCCUCUGAUCUACGAAUGUUUGUAUCUCUCCGGGCGGGUGCGUAAGCUAAGCAGAAAGAACAGCGCCUUUCUGAAGCCGGCCGCCGGUGUUUUCCCAGAGUCAGAAAACUGAGGCAUCGUCACCCGGCCGUAUCUCUCCAACAGCUACAAAGAGAUUGCGCCGAGCACUGGUUGUCAAAAAGUGGCUGUGUAGACCGCCGUGUACAAGCAGCACGAAGCACGGUUAGGUGCCGGCCGUCGAUUGUACGCCGUCGGAAUAUAAAGCGAAUUGUUCGCAUGCAUGCAUUUCCCCAUCAGUCAAUUCAAGCUUGCUAAGCUAGGCUGAAACUGGUUGGGGUGGAGACCGGUGCAUUGGUAGUGCAAACAUGCAGUCCGUGCAGGCGAUCUAGCAAGCGAACAAAGCUCUGAUGAGCCGAGUGCUCCUGCGUGCAAGCGUCCAUGGAUGGUGGUGACCACACCGCAUUUGAUGCCUCUUGGGGGGAUGCUUGUUGGCGUUGGAUUUUAGCAUUUGACUCCGACGUGGCAGCUACGGCCCACAGGUACUUAGAUGAUGAAUUGGCAUCCGUCAGUGCUGUACUUGUAGCCUACUAGUAGUACUCCAACGACUAGAGAAAUAGAUUAAUGGUGCUUUGGCCCCAAGUGGAAGCUGUUGAAAGUUGGAUGGAAACUCAGAACGAGACUAACAAAGUUUCAUCCUUUUCCGUUUCAACUACAUGUGCGCCGUGUAUGCAAUCUUGUUUGUGGCCCUCAAAAAACAUGGGGGGCUUAUGGGGACGGUCGCUCUGCAUGCAUGCGGCCAUGCUCAUGCGUGGGAGGAGCUCAGUAAACCCGUGUUCGUCGUCGCGGAUUACGGCCCUUGACCCCCAUCCUAUAUAUAGGGGCUAGGCGGGGCUCUGCCGCUCUGAGCAAUCAUGUACGCGCAGUGACGACGACGACGCCAACGGGAACCCCAAAAUUAGCAGGCUCAUCUGAUGGCGUAACCCGCACCCUGAAGCGGUGAAGCCCCGCCCCGUUGACACACGUAGGACUUCCACCGGUACCAUGCCGGCCUGUACGUGCGCGCGUUAAGGCUCCCCGUCCGGUGGUGGUGCUGUGUCACUAGCUCCCAUCCACCCUGCACGUCACCGCGCUUGGACGAACGCGCGCGGCACAGCAGUUGACCUUGCCAAAGACCACCGAUCGUGUGUGUUUAGCCUCUUGGCUUCUUCCUAAGCAGUAAGCACUGACGACGCCGGCGUAGCCAUGCAGAGCAAGCCAAGCAGCAGGGCCUGCCGCCGCUGCAUGGUGGAGACCGGAAUCGCUACGGGCACCCAAACGUUCACUCCUCACGGGCCGAAUAAAGCGCCCCGCAUCGGUCCGAUCGAGAUCAGACGAUCUGGAAAGCAUGCAAUUAUCCGGUUAUCCCAGAUGGAUAAGGGCACUGCAUGCCUGUGGAUGUAGCAAUAAUUAAUUGCUCCAGCAACCAGCAGCAUCCUGCUUGGUGGAAGGGUGUGCGUAGGAUGGCGGACGGGUGGCCGCAUCCGGGCAAGGCCAGGCCAGGGUGGUCCGGUGCUCCGGGCCGGGCCGGUGCGGUCGGUUGCGUCGCGCGCCGACCGGGCGGGCGGGCAACGAAGGCCACCACGGCCUUUAAAUGCCUCGCCAUCUCCCCCCCCGCUCCAGACACAAACCCACCUCGCUCGCCUCACUCCCCGCGCUCCCAGCGCACCUCGCUCCCCUCCCCUCCCCCCACCCUUUCCAUUCUCGUCACCCCCUCCGCCCGGGACUCCAGCGCCUUCCAAAGCUCUGCUUCCCCUUUGGUCCCUGCCUCGAUCCCGAUUCGAAUUCGACCUCCCGGCCGGCGACCCAUAUAAGGAUCUUCUGGUGACCUCGGCGGCGGCGGCGGCGUAGCACGUACGCCAUGGCUCGAGGCGACGGCGAGCUCGAGCUCACGGUGGGCGUCCGCGGCGCCGGCGGGCGCGGCGGCGCGGCGCCGGCGGCGGACGCGCCCGCGUCGAUCAGCCUCGGCAGGCUCAUCCUCGCCGGCAUGGUCGCCGGCGGCGUGCAGUACGGCUGGGCGCUGCAGCUCUCCCUCCUCACGCCCUACGUGCAGGUAUACAUCGACGCACGCUCUAGCUUCCUUCUUCCUUCCCCCGUCGACGAGCCCCCCUCCCGGCCGUUUGCUCUUCGCGAUCCUCUCGAACGUGCGUGGCGGCCCAACGUGCACGGUGCGCGUGCGUGCGUGCGUGCGUGCAUGCUACGAGAUUAUUGUAAAAUAUAUGUUCCCGUGCGCCGCGCACGUACACGUACGAUCGUCGCCGCCUCCAACGGCUGUGAUCGAGCAUCCGGACGCGCACGCGCAGGCUAGAAAGGUUCCCCCCCCCCCCUUACAAAAUGCGUAUACAAUAAUCGAGUAGUAUAUAUAUCUUAAAUGUUUUUGAAACGGUAGCUUUGACCAAAAUUCCAUUUUGUCUUUACCUCGUCAGGCUUACGAGUGAAAGUAGUUGCACUGAUGGUCAGUAUCUGAUGCGCAUGUGGCCGAGACUUGCUGUUGAUAGCUACACUUUGUUUUCUACUAGACGGUGGUCUCAUCUAGAUUGGAGCGCGUAGCCAUCGCCAGACAUGGACGAUGGACCCUUCCCGAUCGAUCGCUCCAUCGAUCAUGCAUCUCCUUGGGUUGGGUCGUAUUAAUUGCCCACUUUUCCUCUGCCCCAGCAACUACUCCUACUUAGAGCCUGAACCUCGGUCGAGCUCAUCUCUGACGAUGCGCACAAGUCAAACCUUUCAAAAAACAUUUGUUUCAUCUUUGUUUUAUACAGUGGAUGAACUUGAGUGACGUAGCAGCAUGGAGUAUGUUGUCCUGAGUCACCACUUCAUCUGACACCUCGUGUGUGCCAGGGUUACACCAUGGCACGUCCUAUGGCUCAAACUCAAAGUGGUAGGCUUUCCCAAAAACCGGGAGGCGGACGGUGGCCGCGUGCAGUGGUCGGCCGGCGUACCUGCAGCCUCUCGCCCAAUGAUUUGUCUACCAGAAGUUUGCAAACUCUGGUGGAUGGGGAAACCUCAAACCAUAACCGACCAUUUGGCCCGCCGUCCAAAGUUCCAAAACAAAGGCCACACGUUAUGUAUGGUCGUCCUAAACAAACCCCGGCCUACCGUAUUUUCAUCGACGCAAAAACAAAAGUUUUUUUAAGUGAUUGCCAAAUUUGUAAUGUUCCGGGCUAAUUUUCUAGGUAGAGAAAUAAAAUAGUCCAAAAGGCCACGUAUAAUUUUUUCCACUUCACCCACCUUUCAUUUUUUUGCCACCUGAACAAUCAGAUAUGGAAACAAUUAAGCAUGAUAUUCUUUCAAACAUAUAAAUAGAUAGUAAUAAAAUUGAAAAUAUAUAAACUAGUGCGGCCCCCUUUAUAUCAAAAGAUUCUUUUUUAAAAAAAAAGGAAUUUAGGAAAGAAUUGGUGGAGGAUUUUCUUUAUGAUUUGAUUCCUAUAUGAUUUUUUUUUCCUACGUGCCCCUUUGAAACAUAUUGUUGGACAUCCUAGAAAUAGAAUCCCAUAUAAUUCGUAUCAACCAAUAAAAAAUUUAGAGGAAAUCUAAUAUGAGGCCCAGCCAUAUCUGUAUUUUUCAUGCUGUAUCCAAACGUUCCAUUGCAUCAUACGGAUUCCCUGUCAAAUUGCAAUUGAAAGCCAACUCGGAUUCUACGUUUUGAGGAGAAUCUUACGUCAUAAAGGAGUCCUCUCUGCGCACACGGACACGGCACCAUGCCUUGUACCGGUGCCUGCCCAUGCCGACCAAAACCAGCAUGUGUUUUAGAACCUUCACCCAUUGUCCAUUAAAAAAGAACUGUUCACGGCUGUUCGUCCAAAAAAAAAGUGUUCAUUAUUGAUGGAAUGGAAUAUUUUAGUAUAGCCAUGCCUAUUCGGCGGGCAACUUUGGAUAAAGUUUAUGCUCGCUGCGGGUAGGCCGUAGCCUUGUUGAGCCAAGUGCCAUCGAGGCGAUUGGUGCGUGUGCAGGCGAAUCUGUCAGGUUUGAUCUGGCACGUUGCCUAACCGCACCGUGCGACCUGGAUGGUCGGAUUAAAAGAGGAACCUUCUUUGGGCCAGAUAUAUUCCCUUUUUGCCUGUGUCUGUAAAAGAAAAAAAAAAGACAUGUCCUGCCCGAUGUAUCUCGACGUGCACAGAUUAAACCAACUAAGAAAAUUAUCUAAUGAUAUAAUGUUCUUCUCUAUUAAUGAAAUUGUCACUGUCUCAUUUCGGUUCGUUGCAAGUACUUUUCUCCAUUAAUGGUAAUGUGUCUCGCUAACUUAUCAGAAUCAGUUACAAAGCGUAGUUUUCUUUGCAGUGCAAAAUAAACAUUACUCAUGCACUCUCAAUUGCUCGCUGAUCUCUGAAUUUUGCCUAUAUUUGCGCAGACUCUGGGGCUUUCACAUGCCCUCACUUCAUUCAUGUGGCUAUGUGGCCCUAUUGCUGGUUUAGUGGUGAGUACCAUACUAUUUUUGCACAAAUGUUACUCCCUCCGUUCCAAAGUGCAGGUCGUUUUGCCAAAUCUUGAUACAUAGAUUUUGUUUAUGCAUCUAGAUAAUCAUUGUGUCUAGAUACAUAGCAAAGUUUAUGCAUCUAGAUUUGCCAAAAUGAUCUGCAAUUUAGAACGGAGGGAAUAUUUUUUUCUUACUGCAGUAAAUAUCCAUUGAUCCUUCUUCUACUCCCUUUCAGGUUCAACCGCUCGUCGGUCUGUACAGUGACAGGUGCACCGCGAGAUGGGGAAGACGGAGGCCAUUUAUUCUGACCGGAUGUCUGCUCAUCUGCCUUGCCGUGAGAACCUCACGCGCUCUCUCUAAUCUCUACCGCUAUUUUCUUAGAACUGAACUGGAACGAACUCACCGUUGCUCCUCUCUCAAGGUUCCCUACUAAUAUUUUCAAGCUUAUGAUGUGCAGGUUGUGAUUGUUGGAUUCUCAUCAGACAUCGGAGCUGCUCUGGGCGACACAAAGGAAGAGUGCAGGUUAGCUGCUUCGCUCUGGGGCUACCGCCUCGAACAGAAUUAUCUUUUGCCUGGCAUCAGUCUCAACUGAUCUGAUACUUGAUGAUGUGUAAUGCAGUCUCUACCAUGGUCCCCGUUGGCAUGCUGCAAUCGUCUAUGUUCUGGGGUUCUGGUUACUUGACUUCUCCAACAAUACCGUGCAAGUGAGUACAUUUAUAUCAGCAGUUCAGAGUUUCAGACGGAUCAGUUUCAAAUGCACUAUAAAUCUAUAAUAAAAUCUGACAUUUUGCAUUCAACUGCCAGGGUCCAGCUCGUGCCCUAAUGGCUGAUUUGUCAGGUAACUUCACGGCUAACUCACUUCAGGUUUUACCAACAAUUGUUGGUUAGAGCAAAAGACUAGUACUACUGUACUAGUAGCUGUUGUGACAUCAGUGGAAUUCGCAACCUGAUCUGCAACUCUUUCGUUUUCCGCUCGACAGGUCGUCAUGGCCCUAGUGCGGCUAAUUCAAUCUUCUGUUCUUGGAUGGCGUUGGGAAAUAUCCUAGGGUACUCCUCUGGUUCCACAAAUAAUUGGCACAAGUAAGUCCUGCACUCUUGUAUACAAAUUCUAUCCAGCUCUCUAUCUGAAAAGUAGUUUACUGAAAAUGUGGAUCCUGCAUAACAAGAGCUCUCUAUCAUCAUAUACAGGUGGUUUCCCUUCCUGAAAACAAGAGCCUGUUGUGAAGCCUGUGCAAACCUGAAAGGUGCAUUCCUGGUGGCUGUGGUAAGUUUUAUAAAUAUCUCGCAACAUGUUCACAGGAUAUUUUGUGAAUACAAAUAUAAUCUGGUUAUGUAUCAAUUAACAACCUUUAAGCAUAUAUUCUUCCCAUGUUGAUUUAUGAUUCGCAUAGAUGCUAAAACUUGGAUAUUUUUUCUUUUCGUUCUCUUUCCGCAUAUAUUCCUCCCAUGUUGAUUUAUGAUCUGCAAAGAUGCUAAAUCUUGUUAACCUGUCGGGGCCAGUUCAAAAUAAAUAAGUAAAAUAAAACAGAUGCUAAAUCUUGGAUGUUUCUUUUUCUUUUUGUUUGUGUUCAGGUGUUCCUGAUCUUCUGCUUGACAAUAACCCUGAUCUUCGCCAAGGAAGUACCAUACAAAGGAAAUCAAAACCUUCCAACAAAAGCGAACGGUGAGGUUGAAGCUGAACCUACCGGUCCACUUGCCGUGUUCAAGGGCUUCAAGAACUUGCCCCCUGGGAUGCCGUCCGUGCUCCUUGUAACUGGCCUCACUUGGGUACGCCACACAGAUCCAUCUAGCUUGUUCACUGAUUUCAGGGUGUUUCAGUCUCUGACUGGAUUCUGUACUGACUCCGGCACUGUGCUUGCAGCUCUCGUGGUUCCCGUUCAUCCUCUACGACACCGACUGGAUGGGCCGUGAGAUCUACCACGGCGACCCAAAGGGUACCAACGCUCAGAUCGCAGCGUUCGACGAAGGUGUCAGAGUUGGCUCGUUCGGGUUGCUGCUCAACUCGGUAAGAUUCGUUCCAUGCAUUUGCAGAAGCCGCAAACUCUCCGUCCCAAUUAAUUGCUGACCAGGAGCUUCAUCACCCCACCGCGUGCAGAUCGUUCUAGGGUUCAGCUCCUUCCUGAUCGAGCCGAUGUGCCGGAAGGUCGGCCCGAGGCUGGUGUGGGUGACGAGCAACUUCAUGGUCUGCAUCGCCAUGGCCGCGACCGCGCUCAUCAGCUACUGGUCGCUCAAGGACUACCACGGAUACGUGCAGGACGCCAUCACCGCGAGCACGAGCAUCAAGGCCGUGUGCCUGGUCCUGUUCGCGUUCCUCGGUGUCCCCCUCGCUGUAAGCAUAUCUUCACCGAACGCCACGGCAUGUACCAACAAGGAUUUGCUGCUGACACGGCCGUGACCUUCGCGUGAACCGUGCAGAUCCUGUACAGCGUCCCCUUCGCGGUGACGGCGCAGCUGGCGGCCAGCAAAGGCGGCGGUCAAGGGCUCUGCACCGGCGUCCUGAACAUCUCCAUUGUCAUCCCUCAGGUCAGCAGCGCUGUUCUGCGGCCUCUAAAUUUCAAUUCAUGGCAGGGUCUGUCUGCCUGUGUCUGUCCUUGAUCGCGGUGUGCUCACGGCCGCAACUGCUUUGGUCUGCAGGUGAUCAUCGCUCUUGGCGCUGGCCCGUGGGACGCGCUGUUCGGUAAGGGGAACAUCCCGGCGUUCGGCGUGGCGUCCGGCUUCGCGCUCAUCGGCGGCAUCGUGGGCCUGUUCAUUCUGCCCAGGAUCUCGAAGCGCCAGUUCCGGGCCGUCAGCGGGGGCGGCCACUGAGCCCGGCCCCGCCUGGCCGCCGCCGGCCGGAUCAGGCCGGCGUGCAAGAAGAGUUUGUAUGUUGAACAGAAUAAGAACGGGAAAACCAUCGUGCAGUGUGUGCUUGUUGUGUCCGGUAGAUAGGCAGGCGUGGGCAAGUGGAGAAAGGUAACGUGAGCAUCCAGCACCAGCUGGUAGCAAGGUCUGGUCUCUGCUAGCUAGCUAGUGUAAGGAGCGAGUAGGUCAGUUAAAAGCUGGUGCGUCGUGAGGGCUCGGUCGACCGGCAGCGGUCGCGCUUGCUCCUGUUGCCGAUCAUGCAUGUGUGUAGCUCAGCGGACUGAUCAGGGGAAAAAAAGGGAUUCGAUCGACCAAAAUGUGCAGCAUGAACUGUGUGUUUGCGUGAUCAGAAUUCAGAAACUACUACUAGUGCUCUAGAGUAGUAGAGGCCGCAGUACUAGAUGAUGUUCAUGAUUGGUCUAGAGCUAGAGGCCUACUCCAGCAUCUACUAUGUAUUGUCCGCCGUUUAAGAUUUUUGGUCGGAGCAAUGGAAGCGCCUUGUUUUGCUCCAAUUGUCCCGUUCUUGCGGCUCGCUUUUGUUGCGUACUAGUAUAUAAAAACGCGCCGCGACGGCGCCGGCUUUGAAUCGCAACCAACUGCUCCAACCAGGCAACGGCUACCGCGCCCGUGUCGUGCAGCGAGCAAAAGGAGCGACGCGUAGACGAAGCAGUCCACGGCCACUCAGGCCGGCGGAAGAUCCAGCUCGUUAUCGAGCAAGAGAGAGUUCAGUUCCUCAGGAAACGCCACUGAUGAAGCAUUGGCACAUGUUAACGUGCCGGCCAAAAGUCCAAACAGAGACGCCACGGUCAUCGCGGACCGUCGAUCACGCACGCAAGAAUACAAGAUCAUUCACAAACCACAAGGGGGCUUAGCGUGCACCACAUCCAAGUGGCGCGCGCGAAGGGAAAAAGAAUUGUGCCCGUCACGUCGAGUGUCCAAAACCGCAAACGCCUCAGCAGCAGCACGCGGGGCACCUGACGAUGCCGUUCUCGUUGCAGUCCGGGCACCGCCGGAACCCGGCGCCGCCGCCGCCGCCGCCGCCGUCCUCGUCCGACGCGUCUUCUUCAUCGUCGUGCCCGUCUUCGUCGUACACGUACACCUUGCAGCUGCCCGAGCACGUCUCGCAGAGCACGAACCGCACGUCGCCGCAGGUCUCGCACGCGCCGGCGUCGCCCGCGGCCGCCGCGCUCUCGCACCCGGCCAGCCUCGCCGCGAGCUCCCCGGCCUCGUGCAGCCGCUUCAGCUCCUCGGCGUUGCCCACGAGCUCCCCGUCCACGAACAGGCUGGGGAGGGCGGGCGCGGCCGGCGCCCAGCACUUGGCGAGCGCGCCUCCGCCCGUGACGCCGAGGAGGCCGUUGAGCUCGUCCCGGAAGCCGCGGUGCAUGGACACGUCGCGCUCGUCGAGGCGCACGCCGUAGCCCUUGAGGAUGGCGCGCGCGAGGCAGCAGUCCUCGUACGUGGCGCGCACGCCGCGCAGCGACGUGAAGUAGAGCACCGCCCGGCGCGGGGGCGUCUUCUCCUUGCUCGCCUUCCCUUCGCCGCCGUCCGUCGCGACGGCGGCGUGAGGCUGGGGCAGCGGCAGCGGCGUGACCUUGGCGAACGCGGUGAGAUCCUGCGGCGCCGUGGCGACCGGGAACGAGAAGGAGUGGCGCCCGAACGGUGCAGUGAGCAGCGGCGAGUGGUCCUCCAGGCCCGCCAUGAGCGCCCACGCGUCGAUGUCCUCGGGCUCGUUGGGCGGCGUCAUGGUGGGCGUGCGCGGCGCCAGCCUCGUCGGCGCGCGCGCCACGGCGGGCUCCGGCGCCCGCGGCAGGGCCUUCUCGAGCUCGAGGGAGCCCAGCGUGGACGACGUGAGCCGGACCACGUGGACGCCGGCGUCGCUGGGGCACCGGGCGGGGAACGACUGGCUCCGCGGCAGCGCCAGCGGCGACGGGCAGUACCGGAGGUCGUGCCGGGCUUGCCUGGAGGUGGUGCACCCCAUGGCGCCUGUGAACAAGGCCAGCGGCAGCGGCUAACUGGCAAUGCGAGGGAGCUAGUAAUUUGGAUUGGGAUACCAGGGUGCCAGUGUGAUCACUGAUCAAUCAGCCAGGAGCACAAUGUUGUGAGGUUCCAAGCAGUGGAUGGAUGAGCUGGAGGACUGAUCUUUUGGGAUCGCGGUUUCUGGGGUUUAGGAUCCUUUAUAUAUUUGGCUUUGGCCAUUGGGGAUAUAAAACUACUGCCAGGAUUAAGACUUGACAAGUGCUGAGAUUUACUAGCAGUGUAUGAAUAAAGUUUGCCCAAUGCAGUGAUUGACACAAAAAGAAUAGGCAAUAACAGUUCUAAAACAUUCUUUUUCCCCCCUCCUGAAGAGAAUGGUUUUGGAACAUUCACACUUGGGAGUCUGAACUUUUGGAGGGAAGUUCAAAUGGUGGUCUUUCAUGUUUUUAAAUUAAAAGGAGUCGGAGAAUGGCCCUCAUUUGUUUGUUUAUGGCCAUAGCAGCAGCAGCUAGUGAAUUAACCUUUGGUUUAGGGCCGUGUUAGUCAAACAAUCAUUGAUUUCUUCCUUUCGCGCUGCUUUUUCUGUACGCAUCUUCUCUGCCCCUGAUUCGAGGACCCUGUUCACAGGGGCUCUGGCUUUGGAGCUUCUCUUUUGUAGCACUUGCACGAAGUUACAUAUACGCGUGCAGCUUUGGGUGCAAGGAAAAAAAUGCAGCAUGAUUAUUUUUUUAUAAUAUGGAAAUGCAGCAUAACUUGGGGAAGUAGUCAAGUAGCCAGUACAUGCGAAUUGCCAAAUAGAAGAACUUUUUUUAAAAAAAUCUUUUCCUGAUAAAAAGAAGAAUGAGAUCUGUGGUAUUAUGUUGAAGAAACUGCAUCGUUUUUUUUAAGGGAAGAAACAACAUCGGUUACUCACACCUCUGAUGUCUGGGAAUGAGAUCCGCAAGAGAAGAAGAGAAGGGAACUAUGAUGUGCACGGCCAGUUUGACAAUGAUUAUUGGGUUGGGCCGUAUACACACGAAGGUAAUCACAAACUUCUGGUCCAGCCCAAGUUCAUUGGAGUCUGGCUAGGACCGUUAACUCGCUGCCGCUACCUACCCUAACUCGCCGCCGUCAAUUCCUCAUCUCUUCGAUCUUUCCAGAUUCAGCUAUUGAUAGUUUGGCAAGAACCUCGUGUGCUGAUUAGACGGGUCAUCAUCGGUUUUCUGAACCUCGUGUUGAGCGUAGCCAUGGUCCCUACUCAUUAGACCAGUCUUAAUAGGAAUUUUAUGGAUAGUUUUAUAAUAUUAAAUUCUAAUAUAUUAUAUUAUUAAUUUUGCUGAUAUAAUGAGGAGAGAGGAUGAGAAAGUUUAUAGGAUGUGAAAUAAGUUUUAUCAUCAUAAAAUUUAUCUAACAUAGUUAUCUAAUUUCUAGUAAUAUGAAAGUGUGCACUGACAUCAAACCACUUGAUAUAUCGCCGCUGUUCUACGGAUCGGCGGCAGCGGCAGAGGCAGCGAAGAAGAGGAUCGGCGGCAAACAAGUCGGCGACACGGGGCGAUAGGGCGACGCUCCCAAGGGUACAUGCACGUGGCGGUCUCCGUCCCCCGCACCAAAGCCCACGCCGCCUGCUGCUCCGACUCGGACGCCGGCGAGGAGCCGUGCAUUUUCCAGCGAGUCGACAGCGACCGCUGUGAAACCCUCGACGUCAUGGACAUUGCGCUCAAGAGUCGCUUCCCCUUGGAGGUGCUCUCCUCGUCCUCCUCCGGGUGCUGGCCCCUCCCGCCGCCCGCUGCUCCUUUCCUCCGCGACCCCGGGGACGUUCGUUCCCUGGGCCGACUGUCCAUGGCGGUCGACGGCGCCACGACCUACUGGCACCCCCCACCAGCAGGAGAGCACCGCCGGCACGUACUGCUUCGACACCGUGACCCGUGAAUGGGACAAGGCUGGGGAAUGGGUGCUCAAAUUCGGUCCCUUUUCCUUUUGGAAGUAGGGAAUUCGGUCGGUUUCCCGAAUUGGAAUUCCCGGGCCAGCCCAACAAUCUAGAUCGAUGGAUGGGCCUGAGGCCCAAGUGAAACCAAAGCACUGAAUCGACGACGACGACGACACAAAACGUAAGUGAAAGCUGGUCGUCGUUGCUGAAAAUAAUCUAGCUGCCUAUCGACGAUCCAUCGCUAGUGAACGGCGGUGGAGACGAACGAUUUCGAGUCGAGGAGUAAACAACAGAAACAUGUUGCCUGCCGGCAGCACGAAACCAAGGAAACUACUGUCGACUGAGAACCUGCAACGGACUCUUCUGCUGCGAGCUACACUGCACCAGGUAGCUAGCGUGGUCAGCAAUCCGACGCGGCAACGUACUCCUCCAACGGUGACGCGACGCGGAUAAGGUUUUUUUGUUUAUCAACCCUGCCGGGACGGGGCAUUCCACUCCGAUCCGUUCCGCCAUUUGUCACCUACUACUGCGAUGUCGUUGCUCAACGCUAGCUCUUCUUCUGUCGCAGGUACUACUAGCUAGCUAGUGGGCUAGCAGUAGCGUGGUCGAGUUGAGGAUGGAAUCGCCGUCGGCGCGCAAGUGGAUGGCCUGGCAUGGAAAAAUACGCGCUGGGGGAGGAGGACGAGGGCGAACAUGCGCGCAGGGAGGAUGUGGCUGGCACGUGAGGGUUGGGGCGCGCGAGAAGGUUCCAAACGGCCCGGUGCGGCUGUACACACCCACUACCAUGCAAGAAACACAAAACAAAUAAAGGGCCUCGCUAGCUGCCCCCAGCACCCAACAACUAGUGUGAUGUAUCUAUGGUUAUACACAUACUAUAUCCCUACCAUAAGUAACACUCACCGUAUGUUUGGUUUCGUACACGUGAAUGAUUUGUCGAAAUCUGAACGCACCAUGUCUAUCUAGCAGUGAUGUACCGUCAACACUACCGUUUCCCUGUACGCCGGGUAAUUAUUUUGACGGCUCACAUGAGGUUCAAGUGUAUUUUUUUGAAAAAAAUCCGUUUUACCUUCCUGAACUUUGGAACGAAUCCGCAUUUCCUCCUCCUUAGACUAUAAAACCGUUCGUCUGGACUCCUCGGACUCGCGAUGCCGGACAUAUAACCUCCCUAGCUGGUUUCUUUCCUUUAUGUUUAUUUUGGUUGACAUAGAAAAUAAACAUAGUCUAACAAGAAAAAUAUAAAAGACAUGAUUUUUUUGAUUUAGUAUGAUUUUUUAAAGAUUCAGCCAAAAUAAAUAUAAAAGAAAAGGAGAAAAAACAAUGAGAGAAACCAGAUAGAAAAGGUCAUAUGUCCGAUAUUGCAAGUCCGAAUUUAGGGAGAUAAAAAUAACAUUUUUUUUUAAAGAGAUACCGGUCCAAGUGUACCGUAGCCGCUCCUAGACGGCGGGAUACUAUGGAGAGGCCGGGGAAGGGGAGGGGAAGGCCCCGGCCGGUGGAGGCAAGGCAUUUGCAUCUGCCGCCGUUCCGCUGGAGCGAGCGAGCGAGCAUGGGUGCCCUCGCGCGCAGGAGGGAGAGAGGAAGCAGGGUCCGUCCAAGGGGAAGCGGGGGGCGGAUGCCGCAUGCGCCGGCCGCUGGGAUCUCUCCUCGCCGGUCGCCGCUGUCCUAACUAACAAGGCCAUGUGCCGCUGUGGCCUCGCGCAAACGCCAGCAGGCCAGGCCAACUAGCGCCAGGGCCACCCGGUUCGCACUAGCAGCAGGCGGGGAGCACCGGGAACGGGGGUGGGCCCGCGCCCAUGAGCCAUGUACGCUGCACGUCUCGCUGUGCGCGGGGCCACCCACCCGCCCCUUGCAUCUCCCGGCCCCUCCUGUUGCUGCAUGCGGCGUGCAUCCACCUAGAUCUCCCCACCGGCUCGGCCCCUCGCCCCCUCCUCUCUCUCGCUCGCUCAUCUCACAUGGCGUUUACUGAUCCAAGCCUCGCAUUGCAAAUUGCACGACCUGUAAAAGCUUACCGUGUAACGUUGCAGCAUGUUCGUGUGCGACGGACCAGUAGGUAGGAGUGGUACCUGCCUGAAGCUUCGUGCCACACGGUCACAGAUCAACGGCUGGAAGGAACCCAUCACACGGUGGCAUGCAUUGACGUAGUACACCACCGGCCGCCGGCCGGCUGGAUCUGAUCUGAUCUGACCACAUGCGCGCGACGCGGUGCGUGGUGUGCAUAGGUCACUCUCCGCCCAAUGCGUGCCGUCCAUCCCUGGCUGUGCCCAAAUUUUUUCGGUUUUUUUUUCUCUAACGUGGGGAGCUAGCUAGCCAACGCAAGACACAAUCUAGGCAGCAGCAUCCAUAUGCCCAGUGGCGAGAGUCCAGAGUGGAUGGGAUCCAUCAUGCAUGCAUAGAUCCACCCGUCACCUGCGCAUACGAAGCUUUCAAAGCAUCCAGAUUGGUAGUAGGGCUCACGCUGCUCGUGAUCAGCUGCGUACCAACUAUAUAUACGUGCGUGUGUGCGGCGUGCCGAACGUGCGUGGGUCGAUUGGUUAGGAUUCACGAUUCUAGCUACUUGGCGACUGAAAUCGACGGCCAGGAUCGGACCAGACUAUCCAGAUCAUCGCGCGGUAGAAUCAGCUAACUAGCAUAGAUCCAAAUCAAACUUAUGAUGUGUUAUGGAUAGGACACUGGAUGGUUGAUCGCACGCACCGAAAAAUUGCACAUGAAUGUAAUGGCGCCCCCCGAUUUUUCUAACAAAUGUGCAUGCAUGCAGCAUCUAGCUAGGAAAAGGCUUCAACUAGGUAGAGGUGAUGCACUUUAAAGUUACCUUGUGUGCAUGCAAGCAUAAUUGCACUGCUGCCGGUGCCGGCUAUGAUGGAGUGAGAUACGCUACUCAUCUGCUCAUCAAGUUGGAAUCAUGUGUACACUGUCAUUGGGUCAUCAUCAAUGUAGCUUUUGGUCCGAUGAAAAAAAUGUGUAAUUAUUAGAUCCUUGGCAAUGUCUACUAGAGCCAUUUUGUGCAAUAUGUUGAGACACUUUUUGUAUUUUCCCUAUAUCGUCAACCAUCUCUCCUCAUUCUACGGUCCCUCGAUAUCUUGGUGGUGUGAUAAAUAACUAAGAGAAAAAUGCACCGCCGGUCCACGAACAUGUCCAUGAACAUGGUUCUUUCAAAAUGCACAUUCAAAUCAUAAACUUGCUAAUCAUACCAUGUUAGGUCCAAAUCACAGUUGUUUAAGCUAAAUCAAAAAUUGUAUAAUUUUAUAAUAAAAAAUUAUAUAUGCAUACCAAUUGUAUAAAUAUAUUCAUACCAAUUGUAUAAAUAUAUUUAAAUAAUUCAUACCAAAAUAAUUCAUACCAAUUGUAUAAAUAUAUUCAAAUACAAAAGAUCUGUAUCAAAAAAUUGUAAACCAAGAAACUCAUAUGAUGAAAUUUGUAAAAAAAGUUUAGAAAAUAUAAGAGCUGGGGAGCAAAUUUUGGAGGAAAUAUUGGAAAAGAAAAUAUUUGGCAUAAAGUUUUGAAAUAAAAUUUUGGAAAAAUUAGAAAAUAUAAGAGCCGAGGAGAAAAUUUCAAGAAUAAAUUUAGACCCACAUGUAAGCUCCACAUAAGUUGAACACUUCCAAUUUAUAACUUAAAAAUGAUGAUUUGGAUUUCACGUGAUACGAUUAGCAAGUUUGAGGAUCUAAAUGUGCAUUUUGAAAGUUUGUGGACCGGGAUGACAUCCUGAACCAAGUUUGAGGACCAGCAAUGCAUUCUACUCAAUAACCAACACAUGUCUCUAGUCAUUUUUUCCUAUAAUACACUGUCAUUGUAUGGGUAGAAGAUCAAUAUAAAAAAAUGAAAAGGACAUCACAAAGAUAAAAAGGUGUAUCAACAAAUUUAGAUUCUACUUAAAAAAAGAAAAGGAACAGUAGAAGCUAGGACCUAUUCAUUUUGAGGGUUAGCCUUUAGGAAGUUAGUCCUUUAUUUUUCCCUUUGUGCCAGCUCAUGCAUUUCACUUAAGCAUUGCCACACUAGUAUUUUUUUAGAAAAUUAAUUUGAAAACACUAGGCCAUACUUUUCCAGAAUAUAUAAAGAGCACUAGGACAUAUUAUAUAUAUGCUAUAACCUUUUGUGUAUACCAAUCUUGUACCUUUUUUGCAUCAUAAAUACAUGUCAUCUUAAGGAAACCCUAGAAUUUAUUUUGAUUAUCUCGAGAAAAGUUUUUUUGGAUUUUUAAUAAUAAGCUCCAUUUCCUUUUCCUUUUAUAACAACCACCACCCUGUUAUAUUUCCAUUUCCUCACCACUCUCUCUCUCUCUCUCUCUCUAUCUCUCUCUCUCUCUCUCUCUCAAAUACUCCCCAUGCUCCUUGCCUUCCUCCUUUGAUGAGGCCAAUGGCCAGCAAUGGCAUGGCGUCCUCCCCCUCGCCCUUCUUCCCUCCAAACUUCCUCCUCCAAAUGCAGCAGACACCUCCCGAUCAUGAUCCCCAAGAACACCACCACCACCACCACCAUGAGCACCAUCUCCCUCCUCCCCUUCACCCUCACCACAACCCCUUCCUCCCCUCCUCCCAAUGCCCCUCCCUCCAAGACUUUCGAGGUACGCAGGCACACAUCGAUCGAUCGGCAUGAAGUUUAUUCCAUGGCAGCCACCCCCUCGCGCAGAUCGAUCACUAGUUAACAGCUGCCUCCGACAGGAAACUGAUCCACACCGCGCGCAUGGAUGCAGGUAUGGCGCCAAUGCUGGGGAAGCGGCCGAUGUACGGCGCGGAGGCCGGAGGCGGCGACGAGGCCAACGGCGGCGGCGGAAACGAGGACGAGCUGUCGGACGACGGUUCGCAGGCUGGGGAGAAGAAGCGGCGGCUGAACGUGGAGCAGGUGCGGACGCUGGAGAAGAACUUCGAGCUCGGGAACAAGCUGGAGCCGGAGCGCAAGCUGCAGCUGGCGCGCGCGCUGGGCUUGCAGCCGCGGCAGGUGGCCAUCUGGUUCCAGAACCGCCGCGCGCGGUGGAAGACGAAGCAGCUGGAGAAGGACUACGACGCGCUGAAGCGCCAGCUCGACGCCGUCAAGGCCGACAACGACGCCCUCCUCUCCCACAACAAGAAGCUCCAGGCUGAGGUACCGCGAUUAUUCAACCACGCCGCGUUCUCUUACUUCUCGCCGCAUCUGACGAUCCUCGCCGGCAGCCCGGAUCUAGCUGCGCGCGCGAGCCUGUGAUCCGCACCACGCUGUUAUGAUCCGGGUUGAUUGGUCGUGGCUUCAAUUCAAUUCCCAGCUCAAUGAUUGGUAGGUGACGCCUAGCUAGCUUAGCAUAGCUCAGCUGGGAUCCAUGUGGGUUUCAGUGCCCGCAGCAGAAAGGUUGUUGGAAGCGGCGCCCAUGGCCGGCGCUGCCUUUUCACCUGCGCGCCUACGUACCGCCUGCCUGCCUUUGUGGAAUCUUGAUGCUGCAGCGGCAGGGCGGCCAGUGAGUGGCUUUUGUCGCGGGAAUUGGAAAGGUCAUCAGCAGAAUAUGCAGCGAGCCUCUGUUUCUUCUUCCUCCUUUCUCUCUCUCUCUCUCUCCACCCUCUCUGCGACACUGCAAGCGAGUCCAUUGAGGAAGAUGCUGUGGCUGGCGCAGUCAAUGGCUUCAUCAUCGCCGGUCCGGCAUCUCUGUGCCUCGUCUCAGCGCGCAUGUGUGCAGUGCAGUGUCCCUUUGCUUUCCAAUCGGAAUUGAAAUUGCCAUGAUGUGGGCACUGUACAUUGCAGAACUUUUGGCACAAUCAGUACUCGUGUGAUUGGGAAUGCAAAUGUACUCAUUAUUUCUAUCAGAUGAUACUCGAUUGGGACCGUGUUGUAGUACCAAGAAUUUCGCGUCAAACUAAUAGUACUAGCAAGAACGUCCUAGGUUUACAGUGAUAGAUUAUCUUCCCUGACGUUUCCGCUCUGAACUUACAUCAACGGACACAUAAUUCUCAUGAUCUCUCAAGGAGUCAAGAUCAAUUGAAUCCAACGCUGUUGUGUGUUUACUGACCGUCUGCUGAUCAGUUCUUGCUCGUGUGGCACUGCAGAUACUGGCGCUGAAGGGCAGGGAGGCAGGGUCGGAGCUGAUCAACCUCAACAAGGAGACGGAGGCGUCCUGCAGCAACCGCAGCGAGAACAGCUCCGAGAUCAACCUCGACAUCUCGCGCACGCCGCCGUCCGAGGGCCCAGACCCUCCGCCUUCGCAUCAUCAGCACCCCGGUGGCGGCGGUGGCGGCAUGAUCCCGUUCUACCCUUCCGUCGGCGGCCGCCCCGCCGGCGUCGACAUGGACCAGCUCCUGCACAGCACGUCGGGGCCCAAGCUGGAGCAGCACGGCAACGGAGGCGUCCAGGCUCCGGAAACCGCCAGCUUCGGCAACCUCCUGUGCGGCGUCGACGAGCCGCCACCGUUCUGGCCGUGGGCUGACCACCAGCACUUCCAUUGAUCCAUCACGGAUGUCACAAUAGCAUUGCAAUGGUGUGAUCUCAGAAAGAUCCGACGAAUUCAUUUGGAUUCUUGGUGACAUGGUGGAAGAGGCACAAAGCUGUGUAUGAUCUGAUCUGAUCGGUUGGCCAGGUAGCUACGAGAUACUGAGAAGGUGAUGCAAUUUGGGUAAUUGGAGUUGAUGAGAAGGGGCCGGGGUUGUAAGGGGAAUAAGUGAGGUGGUGUAAUUUAAUUAGGUAGAUUUUGGUUUGAAUUUUGAUAGUAUCUUUUGCAGCUUCUUUCUUUUUUGGUCUUCGCGUUUUUUUUCCUCUUUUGGUGACACAUAUAAAAAUUUGUGAAUUGUGAGGCACUGUUGUAAUUUGUAUAGGUGAAUGGGGUGUUCUUUUGCAAAUUGUAUGGAUGAAUAGCAGUACAUCCAUCUCUAUCUCUCACUCUCUCUAUCUAGUUGUAUUACUAUUUAUAUUUUAUUUCUGAAAAAUAGAAUGUGUGGCUGGUUUUUUGACAUGUGACCCAUGAUGCAGUGGCAGACAUUGUGUUCAAUGGUUUUCUAUAUAUACUUGUAUAAGGUUAAGAUGUUUUACGAAAAAGGAUAAAGUUCGUUGAGGUUAUUACGCGCGCGCGCGCGCGCAGUGUAGAGUGAAGUAGUGUGCUGCACUUAAGCAUAUUCACAAUGAAUGUCGCAAGUGUCAAAUCUAGCUACCCCCAUCACAUACUGACCCUGAACACCGAUCCAUCUACUACAUUCUUGUGAAAUUUGUGAUCAAAGAAGCAUGAACAGAGAAGCAUGGCAACAGCAGCAUUUGGACAGCUAUCUCUGUUUCCCUGGGCCCCCUUGCUUUUACCCUUUCCACGAGAUCAGAGGUUGCUCACCAACCACUUACGCUUCUGAAAAAAGCCAACUUGUUUUCUUUUUUGACAGAGCUCAAUCAAUCAAUCUUGUGGCAAAUUGGCAACUCGUCCAGUCAGGGACAAACACAAGUGUGUAACAAACUGUGUACUGGUGGCUCUCAAGAUGGCCUCUUGAGGUAAGCACUCAUUGAUGAUUGAUCACAAUGGAGCUUAGCAUUGCAGCUUGCAGCAAGCACCCCGCACUCUUAUAGCAUAAACACCUGAUUAAAUAGUGAAAAGGAAUGUCUAUGUUUUUCAUUUCUACCUGCUGCAGCGGUCUGCAGGCUUGAUCUCAUGAGCCGUACGUUCACGUCAUGCAUUGGCUCAUUGCUGGCAGCUACAGUUUGUCUGAAUUGGACCUCGCUAGAUUGCUUGCCUACGACCGGCGACAAAUCAUUGGGGGGAUGGGAAUUGCAAGGGCGCCAAAUCAUCAACGGUGGUAAAAAGGAAAAAGAAUGCUAGGAUUGGAUACCAUAAAAUUCUCAUCAAAGGAACCAAGGAAAAUUAAGCAUGUGCAGUUUUGGGAGAAAUUGCAAAUUGUCCGCUGCUCUGAACUGUUACUGCAUGAUCUCAAUAGAAAAUUGCAUUUUUUUUUAAAAAAAAUAAACAGUAAAUAGCACUUUCAUCUCCACAGUACAUUUACUGGGACAGGAGUAACAAGAAAAUAUUUUUAAAAAAAAAGCAAAGAGAAACCGCAAAACAGUGAGCAUACAUGGUGUUCCGUGUAGGUCACGUCAUGGGCAGGGUCCACAAGGCGUGGAGCAAUCCCUUUGUGGAGUUGAUCUUGAUCGGCAGCGGCGGGGCCAAGCGCUACAGGCGCAAGAAACCAAAGGACCGUGUCUGGCCCCGUACCUCUCUGCCCAGCGGGGCCCACGGCGGCCGCCCGCUUUUCAGUUUUUUUUUCCCCUCACACAACGUCUCUGGCCGCAAGUACAUCAUCUCUUUCGCCAUCUCCUCUCUUUACAGAUCGACGAUCCAUGGCCGAUCGGGCUAUCCGUGGAGAAAACAGCAGGCAAAACAUUUUACUUUUUGCGAAAGGACACAGGGUUUUUUUUGUCUCGUAUCAUGGUUGAUUAGGGUAGCCUGUGGAACGGCUCUGGUGGGUAAUUUGGUGUCAGAUGAGCAGUAGUAGUGCUGGACAAUGUGCGGCCACGAGCCCGAGCUACAAGCUGCUGACUAGCUGGGGCACACAGUUCAGUACCGGCAUGAACAGCCUGAUCGAUCUGGUCCAGAUGUGAAUCGCGAGAUGCUCGUACACCAGCUGGUACCCGGGUAGGACUUGUAUAUAUACACGGAUGCACGACCGGCCCAUUGAUUCCGACCGGUAUCAUGAACCGGUGAGAAAGUGAGGAGAGAACAUUCCAAUCCGUAUGUGCUUCUAACUGUUCAGUUUCUGAAUCUGGCACACUGACGAACACCAUGGGUUUGCUUAUUUCUUCAGUGCAGGCAGGACAUCCUCCAAUUUCUUCUGCUUUGUAUUCAGAUUAAUGCACCUUCUAGUUCUAGCUAGUAUACGCAAUUUUCUUCCGGCACAUCAGGGAUAAGGAAAAGGAAAGGCCAGAAAGGCCAGUAGCAGUAGGGUCUACGUACGUCUGCCCCAGGUGCGUACGAGAUGCUCCCGAUCGAUCGCCGGGCUGGGCGAGGACGGAGAGGCCGGUCAGUCAGCUGCCGGUGAUGGCAUGUACGCAUGCUGCAUAGUGCGUCCAAACUGUUCCAUCCAUGGGGGGCUCAGUCUCGGUGCCUUUGUUUUGAGAUCGAUCAGCAGCAGGGCCAUGCCUGCCCAGCCGCCCAGGGGCCCUUCCUCCUCCGCUGUCCGCUCCAUGUGACAGCACAGUGCCCGGCUGACCACCAUGUGUCCUCCUCCCCCAUGCCCCAGCUCGAGGGCGAGAUCGACCCCAAUCCAUGGAGAUUUACCGCUCUGCAUCCUCCAUGGAACCUGGCAGCCUGCCCUGCCGAUGAAAACCAACCGGGUGGGUGUGGCCUCGGCAUGUAGCUCCGAGGGCGGGUGGUUGGUGCUGCGAUGGAAACCGCACAUGGUGAUGAACCGGCGGCGGCUGAAAGUCAGCCGGGGCGGCCAUGGCGGAGCCGAGUGAGUUUUUUAGUGGCGCGCCGCAGGGAAUGAGAGGGGAAUAACAGAUUCCGCAGCAGGCAUCGGGGCAUGUCAGCAUGUGUCGCCAACUGCUGCUGCUGCUGCUGCUCGCCCCAACUGACUGACAGACACGCACACCCCAGUAGCAGCAUGGCACGCACACACACGCUAGAAAACUCCGCGUCCGUCAUGUGAUCGAUACAGGUAGGAGGGUGCUGUACCAACGGAUCCUCCGACUCGUUCCCAGCAAUGGCCAAGACGCCGAGCACUUGUGCCUGUCGCCUCGCCUCGCCUCUGCUUCGAGCCUCGGCAACCUGCGCGUGCCUUUCGCGGAGUUUUCCGUGGCAUCGCGUCGGCCUGCUGGGCUGCUGGCUGCCGGACGUUACCUAACGGGACGGGCGAGGAGGGAGGACAGGUGUAACGCACAUGGCGUGUAGGCGGAGAUGUCUGCCGCCCCCCGCGGCUGCGCUGCGCGAGGCCGCGUUCCACGCCACGUUUCAACUCUGAAGAGGAAAAGGUUGGCAAUUUCCUGGCGCGAUGCCAUGCCACAUUGCCCCUGCGUUCUCUGGCCGUCCGGGGAAACAAACGUUCCUGCGGAUCUCGUGUGCGGGAAUAUCGCGGUCGUCGUCAGUGCCUGUCGCUGCGUUCAGACUGUUCGUGCUUUUGUCAGGUAAUGAUCUGUGAUGGAGAUUGGAGAAGAGCUGGAGGGUAGGGCUGCAUUUGCAUGUCUUCUUCCUGAGGAGACCUAUCUAGGAUACUACUACUACAUUCAGAGUUUCAGACAUGUACAGGUAGCAGUAAAAAGAAAAGAAAAAACAACGUACAGUGCAAGUCAGCAGCCCAGCACUCUAGUUGGCAUUUGGAAAGAUCAUUAAGGACAGUUGCAUGUGAAUGCUGUAACGUUAGUUGUCUAGGUUCCUAAGCAAUUUGUUAACUGCGAUCAUAAGAAAAAUUCUUCCGUCUUUUCUGAACCUAAGCAGUUUCGGCCCACAAGCAGCUUCAGUUCAUCAGCCCAAGUUUGGAGACCAACAGCGGCGAGCGGGCUCAAAUGGUAAGGCAGAGCAACGAGGCCCAGGAGGCCCAGGGAACUCGUGGGUCUAAAGAGGCCUACGUGCACCAAUCCGAUUCGUCCACGCGGCUUGAACCGCGCGCACGAUAACCACCAGAACGGGGGGAAGCCCCACCGCGCGCGCUUCCCAUCCCUCCAGCUCUCCACCACCAACCAGAGUCCAGCGAUAAUCCACCGGCGCGCCAUGCCGCCGCCGUCCACCGCCGCCGUCUCCUCCAUUCUCCGCCCGACGCUACCGCCGGCGCUCUCCUUCCACACGGCCUCUCUCCCGCCGAUCACGCGCUCAGCUAGCGCCGCUUCUUCCCGACUCGUCCUCGCGCGGGCCGACGCGGCGGGGGCGCGCGGCGAGGGAGCCGAGACGGUGUUCUUCGACGGCGGCGCCCACUACGGCGACCUCGCGGCGAACCUGCUCCUGGGCUUGACCCUGCUAUGGCUGCCGCUGACGCUGGCGGCCGUGUCCCGCGCGUUCAUCCUGCGAUACCGCUUCACCUCCCGGCGGGUCACCGUGGUGUCCGGGCUCUCCGGCGCCGACCGCACCGACUUCCCCUACUCCUCCGUGACGUCCGUGGUGGUCGUGCCGCGGUUCAUCGGCGAGUGGGGCGACAUCAUCAUCACGCUCAGGGACGGCACCAAGGUCGACCUCAGGAGCGUGCCCAGGUUCCGCGAGGUCGCCGACUACUGCCGCUCCAUGGCCGCCGCCGAGGGCUCCCUCGUCAGCCAGUGAGGAAGGGCCGAGGGCGACGAGCGAGGCUGUUCAUAAUCCCUUGGGCUUCAUAGUCUUCUUCUGUACUGCUCUGUUCUGUUUGCGACGCGAGGACAUCAUCUGAAAUUCUGAAAGAUGAGAAAUUAACAGUUGAUGAUAUCUGCAAAUUCAAUACGAAUCGUUUGAUACGGCACAUUCGGGUCAAAGGGCAGCAUUCUUGUCAUGAGCCACAUUUUUUAAGAGAUUUUCUACCCAUCUUCCGGCUGAUUUGUGUGUAAUCGCUGUUGUGUUCUGCACAUUUAUUUGGUUUGAAUUGGUGAGUGAUUCUGGGUUUCACGAGGUUUGCUAUUCUCCAGCGACGAUUUUCCACUAUAACAUUUUCAUAUGAAUGCCUGAUCUAGUAGCAGUUAACACCGGUCACCAUUAUACAACAACAGCAGCAAUAACUUAGCCUUUUGUCCCAAUCAAGUUGGGGUAGGCUAGAGAUGAAACCAACAGAAAACAAGAAUAAGAAACAAAAAAGGUCACAUGACAAAGGAAAAGUUAGGGGAUUAAACAAAAAGUAACAAAGGUCACGGUUCAGGUACGUUAAUUGCUAAUCUCCAAACGCUCCUAUCCAUAGUUAAUUCCAUAGCGAUAUUCCACUCCUUAACCGUCUCGUCCCAAGUUAGUCUAGGUCUACCUCUACCUCUUUUUACAUUAUCGCCCCGCUUUAAAACUUCACUACGCACCGGCGCCUCGGGAGGCCUCCGUUGUACAUGUCCGAACCAUGUUAACCGAUGUUGAAUCAACUUCUCCUCGAUAGGUGCCACCCCGACCCUAUCUCGAAUCUGUUCGUUCCGGACUCUAUCCCUUCUUGUAUGCCCGCAGAACCAACGCAGCAUACGCAUCUCUGUUACACUCAGUUGCUGUACAUGUCACCAUUUUGUAGGCCAACAUUCAGCACCGUAUAGCAUCGCCGGACGAAUCGCCGUCCUACCGAAAUUACCUUUUAGCCUCUGUGGCACCUUCUUGUCACAGGGGACGCCAGAAGCCUGCCGCCACUUCAACCAACCGGCUGAAAUUCUAUACCUAACAUCUUCAUCAAUGUCUCCAUUUUUCUGAAGCAUUGAUCCUAAAUACCGAAAAGUAUCCUUCUUGGCCAUCACUUGACCUUCGAGGCUAACGUCCCCAUCCUCAUGCCUAGUCGGGCUAAAGUCACACAUCAUAUACUCGGUCUUGGUCCUACUCAGUCUGAACCCCCUCGACUCUAAUAUGUGUCUCCAUAGCUCUAAAUUCAUAUUAACCCCUACCCUACUUUCGUCAACUAGCACCACAUCAUCAGCAAAAAGCAUACACUAAGGGAUAUCACCAUGUAUAUCCCUUGUGACCUCAUCCAUCACCAAAGUAAAUAGAUAAGGGUUCAAUGCUGACCCCUGAUGUAGUCCUAUUUUAAUUGGAAAGCCACUGGUAUCGCCAUCACAUGUUCGAACACAAGUCAUCGCAUUCUUAUACAUAUCCUUGAUGAGGGUAAUAUACUUAGUUGGGACUUUAUGUUUUUCUAAGGCCUACCACAUGAUGUCUCUCGGUACUUUGUCAUACGCCUUCUCUAGGUCAAUAAAGACCAUGUGUAAGUCCUUCUUCUCCUCUCUAUAUCUCCCCAUCAACUGUCGUACUAAGAAAAUCGCCUCCAUUCUCAACCUCCCAGGCAUGAACCCAAACUGGUUUUGGGUCACCCUUGUCAAUCUUCUUAGGCGAUGCUCGAUAACCCUCUCCCAAAGCUUCAUCGUAUGGCUCAUCAGCUUAAUCCCCCGGUAGUUAGUACAACUUUGAACAUUUCUCUUGUUCUUGAAAAUCGGUACUAAUAUACUUCUCCUCUAUUCCUCCGGCAUCUUGUUUGACCGGAAAAUUAGGUUAAAAAGCUUAACCAUACUACCGCCCUCUCGCCAAGCAUCUCCACACCUCAAUGGGGAUGCCAUCAGGACCCAUCACUUUACCUCCCCGAUCUCUGCCUCCUGAAUCCUCCUCACAAAGCGUCUGUUGGUAUCAUCAAAUGAGUCGUCCAACUCGAAAGUAGGACUCUUAUUUUUCCCAUUAAAUAACUUGUCGAAGUAUUCUCGCCAUCCGUCCUUGAUCUUCUCAUCCUUCACCAGACGUUGAUCUGUCCCAUCCUUGAUGCAUUUGAUUUGGUUUAUAUCCCUUGUCCUCCUCUCGCGGGUCCUAGCGAUCCUAUAAAUGUUCUUCUCUCCUUCCUUCGUACCUAGCCGUUGAUAAAGGUCAUCAAAAGCCUGACCUUUCGCUACACUUACAGCUCGCUUUGCAGACCUCUUCGCUAAUCUAUAGCUCUCGAUGUUGGUUGCGCUCUUGUCGAGAUGAACGUGUUUGAAACACUUCUUCUUCUCCUUAAUAGCCCUUUGCACCUCGUCAUUCCACCGCCAAGUCUCUUUCACUUCCUGCUUGCCUCCCCUACUCACACGGAACACUUCUGAGACCACCUUCCGAACACAUGUCGCCAUCUUUAGCCACAUAUCAUCUAUAUCUGCUCCUUCUUCCUAAGGCCCCUCGCCUAGUAUCUUCUCCUUAAACGUUUGUGCCUCUUCCCCUCUAAGCUUCCACCACUUCGUUCUCGCAAUCUUGGCACGUUUGUCCCGGUGGGCACGUACCCGAAAACGAAAAUCCGCCACCACAAGCUCGUGUUGGGGGAUAACACACUCCCCAGGUAUCACCUUACAAUCUAAGCAGGCACGUCUAUCUUCUCUCCUAACAAGGAUAAAGUCGAUUUGGCUCGAGUAUUGUCCACUAUGGAAGGUCACUAGAUGGGACUCCCUCUUUCUAGAGAGGGUAUUCGCUAACAGCAGGUUGUAUGCCAACGCAAAAUUCAAAACAUCCUCCCCCCUCGUUCCUAUUACCAUACCCGAAAUCCUCGUGUACUCGCUCGUAUCCUACAUUAGUCGCACCCACAUGGCCAUUGAGAUCUCCUCCUAUGAAGAGCUUCUCACCCUGACCAACCGCACUAGGAUAAUCCGGUCACCUUGCCUGAGGGGCAUAGGCACUGAUCAUAUUCAAAAUCAAAUCUCCAAUGACCAACCGCACUAGGAUAAUCCGGUCACCUUGCCUCCUAACAUCUACAACUCCAUCCUUAAGGCUCUUAUCGGUCAAGAUGCCUACACCAUUCCUACCCGAAAUUGUCCCCGUGUACCAAAGCUUGAAGCCAGAACCCUCCACCUCCUUCGCCUUCUAACCCUUCCAUUUAGUCUCCUGCACGCAUACAAUAUUUACACGCCUCCUAAUUACUACAUCGACUAGUUCUCUUAACUUACAUGUUAGAGACUCUACGUUUCAACUACCUAGACGAAUCCUAGUUGGCUCGGCUAGCUUUCUUACCCUUAGCACCCGUCGAGAGAAAUGCGAAGACCCUUGCUCGUUUUUCACUACACCCGGGUGCAGAUGUAGCGUGCCACAGAGGCUGCGACGAUCCGACCCUUGCUCACUUAUCAUCGUACCCAGAUCACGAUACGACGCGCUCCUGAGAGGAUGACGACCCGGCCCUUGCCCAUUUAACACCACACCCAGAUUCCGAUGUAGCGCGUCGCUAAGAGAGUUACGCCCAACGAAUUUCUUAUGGGUUUCAUUUCCGUUAGAGUGACUGAUUUUUUACGCUGGUUCGUCAAAUCUAACACAAACCUCCAUAUUUUCUCAUCGCGGGCUUGGGAUCGGUCACCAUUAUCUUCAAAUAAAAUCAAAAUUAAUUUUUCUUAAUAGCUUUGCUAGUCUAAAGAACUAUGUGUCUGUAGUUCAUAUGAUUUUCAGUUCAGAUUCAGUUAUUUAUGUUAACUCGUGAUUUUGGCCUGGCUAGCUCAGCUCGCACAUCCAUCAAAAAUAGUAGUACAACUGAACUGAUGUACAUUCUGCAACGAUCGAUUGUAAUUGGGCCUUAUCUUUGAUUUUAUUUAUGGGCUUAUUGUUUGCCUUAUUGUGGCCUUUUAGUUAUUCUUAGGCUUGUGUUGUGUUUGUUAUGUUUGGGUUUCGGCUCUGGGUUUUUGACAGCUUUAGCCUGAUAAUUAUUCAAUGAAAAAAGAAAACACAAUCUCCAUUUUCUUCUGGCAACCCAUGCAGUGCACUAUCUAUGGCGCCCUUUGGCAGUUCCAUUGCGUAGUUUAGCAGAUUGCCGAGCACCGAGCCAGCCAGCACCGCUGGUGUUCGGGAGCGAGGGUUGCCAUCCUGCCAGGUACCAGUCUGCCAUGCUGCUGCAACAGUGGAACAAGAAUAGAUGGUUCUAUCGGUGUUCAUCUCUUUCUCUAAACAUGGUGGUCCAGUCCUAAUGAUGAUGUUAGAGCAGAGCUAAUCAGUAACAUGCCUCACUACUGAGGAUAAGCAUCAGCGAACAGUGGAUGCACACCAAGGAUUCAACACUAAACUAAUUUCAAGUUGCUCCACACAUGGCCGGUGAGGUGAUCCCUGACCGGCAUUCGAUUCUCGCGACAAUUUGCAAAUUUUAAAGGAUCGGCAGCUUUCACUCACUCCUCCGUCCUAAAAAAAAAGACGAUUCCCCUUUCACAAUCCAAAUCUCGUAUGUGUACGUGUGUGGGCGUGUGCCUUUUCUGGCAAAUGGCGAUCCUUCUCCCGCCGAAGGCCAAAGCAAAGCAAGAGAGAUGCCUGGCUGAUAUGAUUGGUGUCAGCGCUGCAGUGGAGUGCUGGGCCGGUAGUAGUGGACCGGUCGACCACCAUGGCCAUUGGCCCUGGCCCGGGCGCCGCUAUCUUUUUUCCUCCUCCGAUUCCUUUGCCUUUUCUCCGUAUCCCCCUCUCGCUCCCUCGCUUUGCUUGCCCUCUGCUGCACCUCUAACAGAAUCAGUGGCUGUUCAGAGUUCAGAGAAAUUGUCAACCGCUUGUUGGUAGUGCGGGGUGUCGAGAGGGUUGAAAUGUUCCCCGUUGCUCUGCGGUUAUGUUUGUUAAUUGCAGCAAAAGCUCCAACGGUGGGUUGUUUACCAUAUCCUGAACUCUUUGGUUAAUCUUUGCUUCUGAUGGUCCUUUUUUGGCUUAGAACAAUCCAGUACACUCCUCACUGUGGAGAGAUAGUGCUCGCUGCCUAACUGGUCCGGCUGUCUCCAAUCUGCAUGCCACUAGCCAACUGCUUGCUGAUGUUACAUUUGCAAGUAGAUUAGAGUAGAAGGAACCAUAGGGAUCUAAUACAGUUUUGCAACAAAAGGCUAGUACGCAGCAAUAUUUCUUUUUUUUAAAAAAAGGCUAUUACGGAGUACUCGUAUUAGUGUUUUUUCUUGCAGUGAAGCAGUGUGCCAGACUGCCAGUGUGUGAGACACAGGAAAGGUCAAACAAGACUCUCAACCGCCAACCACUCAACCAGCGCAUCCUAUAUUCUGCUGCAACCUCUCUAUUCUAUCCUCUUUCUUCUAGAUAGAUCUUCACAGCAAGAUUCUUAUCCUUUCAUAUUCUAUACCUUUUUUUUCCUUACUCGUGCAGGGUAUGCAAAAUUGUUGGCAGGUCAGCCAUUGACUUGCCCCGGCCAUUGAUCUGGGACUCUAAAUUCUGAAUGAAUGAAUGUGGCCGCUGCCUGCAUUCAUUCAUUCAGAUUUUUUUUGAAUAAUUAUUCAUUCAGAUUUUGUACCGGUACAGAUCUGAAUGAAUGAAUGUCGAGAAGGGAGUGGUAUAGCUCGGUGGGAUCAGGACACUGCAGUCUUCUGUACUGUACUAGGAGUAGUAUUCUGCCGCUGUUUGGUUGGACUUGGACUGGACUUGAUUCCUGCUGUUCCCCGUGACUCGACAUGAAACCAAUGCAAGGAUUUGGCAAUCCAAGGACCAUGGACUAUACUAUUUGCAGGCUUUAUUGGAUCUAUCUACUAUGAAACAGAUAAUCUCUUUGUUCUCUUAGCAUCAGAGUUCAAUGCCCUACCGAUAAACAAGUUUUUUUGCUCCAUGUCUAGCUUUCCAUCCUCAUCAGGCACAAACUCUGCACACACGUACUGCUCGGGUUCUUUCACCGUGACAUGCAAUCCUGAUAAGAUCACAUAUGAAAGCACAAGGGACAAGAGAGCAAAAGGAAGCAAAGCAAUCCCCAUCUGUCUGUCGAUCCAUCGUCUCCUUUGCAUGCUCAAAAGCGUGAAGCAAAGGCACAGCGGACAGGACGACAACGCAUCACGUACAAGAGAAAGGCACUUACGGGCGUGAUUGAUUGCCAUGCCCCUGGCUUGAGCGCCUGAAAACGCCAAGCCACACAGGAACCUCUUUUCAUUUUCCCAUAUGCAGUUAGGUGUCGGGAAAGGGAAAGGGCCGCGGGUGGAUGCAUCAUGCAUGUCACUGGAAUCCUUCUCUGCAUGCAGAUGGGUUCGUGAAGGCAGCUAAACGACCUUUUCAGCUGAAGAAAGCCCCUUUCUCCCGUGACAUCUUCAGUCUCAAAGAGGAGCUCUGAAUGAUCACAGUCGUCCAGCGUUCAGUUGGUUUGUCCAAAUUGUAGUAGAUUAUAGAUUGUCUCGGUGGUAUAUAAAUAAGAUUAGAAUCAUAAGAAUGGUAGAAUCAACCUUAAUCAAGAUCUUAAAGACGUAAAUCGAAUCACAGAAUUGCUGCAAACCUUAAUCUAAGAUUGAUCACUUCUGGAUGCCAUGGACUGUUAGCCUGGUAGGUAAGUAGGCAACAGCAACAUCUUGUUGGCCAUGCUGCUGCUUCUCCGGGCACCAUAGGAACGCCCUUGGCCCUUGGUCACAUGCUGAAGCAGGACAGGUGCCGUUAUCAGUGUGCACAUGCGAUGUAUCUGUGGAAAACUGAGGCGGCCGCCGCCGCUGAAAAUAAAUUGAAUGCGAGGUCAACACUGGAGCAAAAAAAUUGAUCGGAUUGAUGUUGUCGUCGUCGUUGUCGUUCUGAUAGUUGUGCAUUGACGAAAUGCUACAUGAUCCAAAUGCAAAUGCUUUGACUUUCUGAGUUUAGAUUGGUAUCUUCUUCUUCUUUUAUCAUUGUGCACGGAGCCUGUUUGUCACCAUCACAUGGGCCGACACAACAAGGAUGUUGCUGGACUAAUUUGAUAAGGAAAAUGAACUACUAGUGCUCUGCAAUUAAUUUAUGCUUGAAGAUAUCUGCUUGAUGAUGUUUGAUUAGGUGGUAGGCACUAGGCAGAAUGGAGCUUGGGUAUAAUAGCAUAGCAGAAGGAAACACCAGACAUUCAGAGACUGGUAUUGGUAUCUUGCCUUCAUAACUAAUCUGAAACCAACAGCUGAACAGCAAACCUCUGGUGUGUUCCAGAAAACUUGAUGAUCACUGCAACUAGGCACGUUUGCAUUUUUGCGCCCGAAUUAAUCACGUUGUUUAUUUCUGUGUGCUCGCCUCAAAGAAAUAACGGGAUGGUGCAUGCAUCUGGGAGAUGGAGAAAUGGAUCGAUCAAGGGCAGCAUAACUGCAAGCGGUGCGCGGACAAGGGAGUGAGGACAGAAAAGGAAAAUGACAACGUGAGAUUCUCAAAGCUCUUUUUUUUUAUGAUGUAAGCCUCGAGCUCGGCUUUGAUGCAGCGUUGAAAAAGCGAGACGAAAAGGUUGAUUGAUUUCAACUCCCAAGGUCUCAUGGGAGGCUGCUGGAGGACUAGUAGGACAACGCAGCAGAGAAUACUCUUGAGCCUUGUGAUCAUGCGCGUACGUGUAUGGUUUACCAUUGCUUUAUUUAUUUAUUUUUCUCGAGGACACGGAUGAUUUUGUAUUUCAACACAACUCUUGUUGCGGCACGUGCUGGAUGCUUUCCCCGUUCGCAAGCAAUCAUAGUAGUAUGCCCCAAGUUAAAGACUAUUCUCGAGUUAACACCUGAUAAGUUUGGUUAUUACUCUCUCAUCUCUCCUCUAUUAUUCUUUUAAUUAACACAACGUAGAUGCUCGCACGCGUACAUGCAUGCACUCUUGAUCUUUCUUUUUUCGAGUCAAUUUCAUUUUAGCUUGCAAAUGACGUGAACCGAAAGCAUGGUUUUUAUCCAAAAUCUACCCCUUUGCUUUAGCAAAAGCUCAGACCAAGAUUGGUGCUCAAGAUCAUGAAAGAUACCCUGCAACUUCUGUGCAAUCCACUGUUGCUCGGGGGCAUAUGCGCUGGGAUCACCUACUCAUCUCUACCCAAUUCAUCGAAUCCUUCGAGGGUAUAAAUGUAAAUCUCCACACCCAGAGCGCGGUGCACAAGAGGGAGGGAAAAGCCAGAGCAGCCACCGCUCCGGUUCGCAGCUUCCACACCUCACCACCUGAGCUCGGUCGGUGGCGGGCUGCCAGCCGCUUCCUUCCGUCUGCCGCUUUGCUUGCUCCACCCCCACCGCACGCACCUCGCCUCCGUCCAGGCAGAGAGACCCGGGUCAAGCGAUCCGGUCGCAUCUCCACGCGCAACUCGGCCUCCCCGUGCGUGCGGUUCUUAGUGGCGAGGGUGUGCGUGGCGGCGGCCUCUAGUUGACUGCUCGAGGUGUGAGCUCCGACACCUGCUGCGGCGCGCUCGUUUCUUGACGGCGUGCGCGGCCGCCGUUCUUGCAGCAGGGUUUCGUCCCGUCCCGUGAGGAGUGGGUGAGUCGGUGGGCGGGGUUCGAUCUGAACAAGGCUUGGGGUUCUUGCUGGGGGCGCCCGGUUGGUCAGCUCGCAGAAGAAGCCGAGCUGGUUGGGCGUGGAGGUUUUGAUUGACUUUUGAGGUGCCGGGAGUUGACAGGUUGCUUCUUGCUCGCUGGUUUCUUGGCUCUGCGGCUACGGAGCUUGCUGAUUUUCCUCCAGAAUUUGUGGCGGAGCUCCGUCCUGACCUUGCGAAGAUUGGACCUUUGGGGCUGCUUGCUCACUGUUUGCCUUGCCGGAGAAUCUUGGGAGCCUCUGUUCCUCUUGAUUCCUUGCAUUACCGGUCAUCUUGUGCUCCGAGCCAACUAAGGGAGCCCAUCUUUUCCCGCUCAGCGCGUUCAUGUAAACGGAGGAUUGAGCUGAUCUAGCUGGGGAUCUUGAGGCGACAGAGUUCUUGUUUGCUUGCACAGUGCAUGAGUGGUGGGUGAAUUGGUACAGAGGGAAACAUGGGGAAUUGCAUGGACACCACGGCGCGGGUGGAUCACAGCAUCAACAAUGCUGCCUGUGAGUGCCCUGGCUUUCUCUCUAGAAUUCUUUUGCUCUAUAUUUGUCAAUUUUGUUUUUUAUAGCUCUGGAUUGGUAUGCUGCUUAUAUGAAUUUACCCCUUUCGUGCUAGAUAAUUUUGAGAUCGAACUACUUGUUCUGGCUCAAUUACCUGUUUUGGUCUAGAGUUUUUGUUUUUAGUUGUUAGCAGCUUCCUUUCUACUUUUGUUCCUCUGUUACUUCUGUAGGAUAAGACAUCGGUAGGGUUUAAAGCCAACAGUAGGAACUUUUGUGCCUGAAUAAUGUUAGGGCGCUUUCACAGCACUUCUAGGGCCAUUGAGGUGGCAAUCGAAUCUGAUAAUUGAACUACGAGUGGCAUGAUCACCCUGAUUUACAAAUUGGAACAUUAGGCUUGAUGUACUUUGAUUCCACAUUAGCAAAACGAAUAGAGGUUACUACGGAUCCAGUAAGAAUUUUGUAGCAUACGGUUAUUGGAUCCAAUAAGAAUUUUGUAGCAUAUGGUUAUUGGAUCCAAUAAGAAUUUUGUAGCAUACGGUUAUGGUAAGUAGGUUCACAAAUUUGGCAGAGCACCAGUUAGGGAAAUACAGCCCCUUCUGAUCAGCUUGGAAGGUUGCUGUUAAAUUGACAGCCUAAACAUGUUUACAAUUUGCUUAAUUAUUAGCAAAAUUUUAGUACCAGAAUUCAUGAGUAUGACAUCAUCAUAAUCUUUAAAUGCUAUUGAUAUCAAGUUGUUCUGAUUUUCCUCUGCUUCUUGUUGAGAGAUCAGACCCGUUAAAAGUGACCAGCAAGACAAGUUUAUCAUCUGUCCCUUCCACGAUUAAGAGCAACUCAACUCGCUCAACUUUGACUCUUUCGUCUAUGAGAGAUCGAAGUGAGCUUCCUACUCCUCGAACAGAAGGUGAAAUUUUGUCAUCUUCUAAUUUGAAGGCAUUCACGUUCAAUGAUCUAAAAACUGCAACCAAGAACUUCCGACCGGACAGUCUUCUUGGGGAAGGAGGAUUUGGGCAUGUCUAUAAAGGUUGGAUUGAUGAACACACGCUUGCCCCUUCAAAACCGGGUAGUGGUCUCGUUGUUGCUGUCAAGAAGCUUAAACCAGAAGGCUUCCAAGGACACAAGGAAUGGCUGGUAGGUUCAUCUCUCUUCUAUAUAUUUUCUACUGCUCCAAGAAUAUUUUUUUAUUAUUCCCGAUUGUUCUUACCCUUUGCCUGCUGCAGACAGAGGUUGAUUACCUUGGCCAACUUCACCACAAGAAUCUUGUUAAACUCAUUGGUUACUGCUCAGAUGGUGAUAACCGGCUUCUGGUGUAUGAAUUCAUGCCCAAGGGAAGUUUGGAGAAUCAUCUGUUCAGAAGUAUGUAUUUAAUCUCUAUAGCACUGCAUUGUGGAGUCCCAAGUUUCAUAUAACUUAUUUGGGCAUUUAAUAAUGCAAUAUUUCUACUUUUCAGGAGGUGCUGAUCCUUUGUCAUGGGCAAUAAGGCUCAAAGUUGCUAUUGGUGCCGCUAGGGGUUUAUCAUUUUUACAUGAUGCUGAAAACCAAGUCAUAUAUCGUGAUUUCAAGGCAUCGAACAUUCUCCUCGAUUCGGUAUGCUUAAAUACUAGGCCAACUCUGAUUGUGAAGCAUGCAUAUCUGUUGAAUGCCCCUUUAUCUUGUUCUUUGUGGUUGUUUCAACGCAGGAAUUCAACGCAAAGCUUUCAGAUUUUGGCUUGGCAAAAGCUGGUCCAACCGGGGAUAAAACCCAUGUAUCCACACAAGUCAUGGGCACUCAUGGAUAUGCAGCUCCAGAGUAUAUUGCAACAGGUUAGAUAUUUUGUCUCGACGUAUUUAUAAAAUAAUUGGGUAUAUACUGUGCAUUGUUCUUGUGUAUGGCUUCAUCUUUAACGGGAGAUGCCAAUGCUGGGUCCUUGUACUGCAUUAGCUAAAGCUCACUUAAUUAUCUUGUUUCCUACCUAAAGCAUCUUUGGUGGUCCUGGGUAUAAUAGAGGACUACUUGUUUAAACUAAAAGAAAUUAUUGUGCCAUCCUGCCAUCGAAUAAGUGUAUUUGCAUUUCAUUUUUAUUUCAAUAAGUUGGAUCCAGUUGUACUUAUGUUCUAUUUUGUGUUGCAUUCCCUUAAAUGGAGCAUUUCAUUUUGAUACGUCAGAUUAGUCCUUCCACAUUGUGAAUGCUCCAGUGAACUUUGUUCCUACUAAGUGCAGAGGGAAAAAUAUUCCUGGAUUUAGGAAAUAAUCGAACAUAAUGGUAAUAAAGAUAGAUGAUUAUUUCUGGAUCUAUUUGUUCUCAUGUUACUUGAAAAUUCGCAGGCCGUCUCUCUGCAAAGGCAGAUGUCUACAGCUUUGGGGUGGUGUUGCUUGAGUUGCUCACUGGAAGAAGAGCCCUGGACAAAUCGAAGCCAGGCAUAGAGCAGAACUUAGUUGAUUGGGCCAGACCUCACUUAGGUGACAAGCGCAGGCUAUACCGCAUCAUGGACACGAAGCUUGGAGGGCAGUAUCCAAAAAAGGGUGCAAACGCCAUUGCAAGCAUUGCCUUGCAAUGCAUCUGUGGUGAUGCCAAGAUGCGGCCUCGGAUGUCUCAGGUGUUGGAAGAGCUGGAGCAGCUGCAAGAUGCCAAAUAUGGUUCAGCGUCACCACUGGUUGACAUUCGGAAGGCCUCACACGCCGUACCAAGAUCGCCAAGAUCACCAAUGAGAGUCCAACCUUCGCCACGGCGCUCACUUGGAGCAGCAGCAGCAUCCCCAUUGCCAGGAUAUCGCACUGCACAAGUGCACUAGGACGAGACUUAGAAGAUGCGACGUACCUGUAGGUUGUAUAUUUGUUGGUUCAGCAGUGAGCAGCGUUGUAACUUUUGCUUCUACUGAUGUUUUGGCGAUCAUGUGUGACACGGGAACACCACUAUGUCAAUCUAUGAUAAGUUGCCUUGCCUGGUUCAGCAAGCGUAUAGCGUUGUGGCCUGGUGUCGUCAGUGUUUUGAAAUUCACUCGGCUGGCACGUAGAACUUCCUCGAUCUCUUUGUUUGCUGCCAUGGAAAAUCGUAAUGGAGUUGCACAGUUUCUACAGAAAAAUAGACGAAUGAUGCUCCAUCUCAAGGCGAUACGAAGUCUUGGUUUCGUGUGCAAGUUUUUUUUCUUUGGACAAAAGGUUUUCUCCCGCUUCUUUUUUCACUCGAAAUGUGGUGUCAUGAUGUGCAAGUUGCUUACAUACAUCAAUUGUUUUGGGCAAAACGAAAGUUGGUAGCAGGUAAAGCUGCAUUCUACGUUUCUGUUUUCAUUUCUCGACAAUGAACUCCUGAAUCUCUAUCCCAGUGUGACGAGCGCCGCCCUGUUUCCUCACCAAAACUUCAUCACCGACUUUCAGCGAAGUCACAGGAAUAGCAGUUCUUCCACUUGAUCCUGUGCCGAACGAUAAUACAUGCCAGGAAUUAGCUGGUUGAAAAGAGACUUAAAAAUGAUAGAUAUAAUAGCAACUUAGUGAUAUUCAACGUUUACAGUCCAAUCUUUUAAUUUUGGACCACAAUGGAUUUACCUGUGUCAUCAAUGAUGAGAGCAACUGUCUCUGCAUUCUGUAGGAAAAUGCUAUACGUAUCUCCAGAGUUGUCCUGCAGCAAGCCAAUAGUACCAUGAAAUGGACAUUCACAUGAAAAAACCACAUAAAGCUUACAGCAAGGUACACCGGUUUUUUGUACCUUUGCUUCUACAAGGAUGAGAGGCCUUGAUUCAAUCUUGACACGACCCACAAUCGCAGUACGCCAUAGCCCAUGUUGAUCAACCACAAUUACUUCCUUUCCUGAUCGCAGCUCAGAGAGGUAGCUAGUCUUGCCCCCAGGGACAGUGACAUAUGCAUGCACAGGCCCCUAAAAGUGACAAGAUCAUAUAUUAGUAUAGGUCUUUGCUGUGUUGCAAUAAACUAAUACCCAGUUACCCAUAAUAGCUUUGCUGCCAUCCAAUUUAUUUUAAACUUACCGCAUUGACCCUGAAAGGCCUGCUUGCAAUGUAGUUUGUCUCCAAGCAUUCAGAGUGAACAAGGAACAUUCCUCUUGCAUAGGAUCCAACCUGAAAACAAGAUGCCAUGUAACUCUAGAUGCAGACUUGUAUGCUUGUAUGGAUAACAGGAAUCAACAAAAUGCCAAGCCAAUAAGGCAGACCGGUAUAUCCAUGAGGUCACACUGAACAGUGAAUAUUUUAAUAUUUCUAUUUUUUUUCUAUGCAUGGCAACAAUGAACAAGUGAGAUAUAUACACAAACCAGAAGGCCUUCACCAGGUCGCAUGAUACUGCAAAGGUCCACACAAACACGAUCACCCAUACCAACAACUUCAACCUUCGAUACAGUAGCCUUUGUCAAUGGUAAUUGACUCUUUGCCUCAUUCCUUCUGUCAAAAUAACCCUGAGUCAUUAAAAGGGGAGGAAAAACAAACAUCUGGUAAAUCGUACAUGAAAAAAACAAUAAGCAGUAGCAAGAAGGAGCCUCUUGUACAGUCACAUAAAUACACUACAACCAUGGCAUUUAAUACUACAAGCCCAUUUUAUACUGGCAGGUGUUUACUAGUUAAGCACAGCGGAACUUUACAUAAAGUUUUUAUAAAAUACCUUGAGCUUAAUGAUAUCAUCCAUGUCAUCUACUUUAAGUACAACUCCAUCAAGCCCUUGCUCCAAGGCCUACAAAAUGAGUGAAGGAAACAUGACUCAGCCACAGACAACAUAAUUUACAACAAAUACCUACCAGCAUUGUAUGUGCGAGAUGGUGUUAUAUCUUAUCUGUUGAAAUCUUUGGAAAAUUACCUCAAGAAAAACUUGAGCCUCAGUUGAAUUUGUUGAAACAGCCAAUACAGUUCCUUUACAUCCUUGGAAUGCAGCAACUAUAUUUUCGGCCGGUAUAACCUAAGAAAUGUGGAAAGGAAAUACCACUGAGUGCCUCUGAUGGAUAGGGUAGGUUUAUGCAAUAAUGUUUGGAAGCCACUGAUCAGACACACACACACACACUUGUUACAUUCCUUUGACGAAAUAUAAAUAGAAAACCUAGAGUGUAGUAAUGUGUUAACCAAUCUCAACUCACUAUGAUAAUUUACGACAUUGUAUGCGUAGAAAACAAAACAGAACUUUGAAACAAUUUCCUUGCUAUGGAUCAGGGGGCUAAUAAGAUUGGUGCUUAUGCUGCAAUGUUCAGUAGUCUAACCUGCCAACCACCUCGAAAGUCUAUGACAAUGUUCUUGACUUCUACAUUGUCUGGUUGUACGAGUUCAAGCUCUCUGGGUGAAGAGACUUGCGAAAUUUCAGCAACUUUUUGAUUUUCGCCAUCGAAAAUCUCUGGACCAUCAAUGAAGAGAGGAUUGAUGCGAGCAGUUGCUGAAAAAGCAAAUGAGCAUGCAAAAUCAUGAAUUCAUGAACCACUAGAAUCUAAGAAGUCUUAAUGCUUGGUCAAGUAUAUCAUCAGACAAGCCUACACUAAUUUAAGUAGGAACACAAGGCCUGGCUCGACAGGUUUUCACCCUUUUGGCCUUUUUUCCAAUGUAAACUAGUCUGCAUCGGUCUUUGGAAUUUGUAAAUUGUAUAAUAUUAUGGGCUUGAGAUAAAGAAAAUAAUUGUUCUCACAUGACCAAUCUUCGCCGAGAUCUUUGGAUCCGAAGAGGAAAGUGCUCCACCCCCUCUCCACGGCCGCCGUCAUAACCUGCCGAUUCUCGGUCCACACCCAGACGGUCUUCUUCAGCUCCGCUGGCGCAGCAGUAGAGGCGCGCAUCCUGACGGAAGCUCGACGCGGCGAAGCUGACGCCACCGCUGCAUCACACCAAUCAGAAUCCCAGGCUCACAAUCAGUAGCCAUCGCAAUAGCGAAAUCAUCGGUUGGCUGGUUACUUGGACCCCCCAUUUCCCGCCAAAGCCAAACGAUGAAAUCAGCAAGUGAUGGAACAAAGGGGUGGAUUGAGCCAUUGAGUCGGGAGCCACGAAUCGGGUUGGGGGAUCUGCGUAUGGGCGAGGCAUCUAGUAGGAAAAGUAGAACAAGGUAGGGACAGGGCAGUACCUGUUGUUCGGGUUUGGGGCGCGAGGAGGGAGGCGUGGAAGCACGCCAGGGCUUUGGCAGAGCCCGAGGAGGAGGCGGCUGCCAUUGAUGAUUCGAGCUUUGUGGUUUGCUUAGCUUCGCUCGCAUCAUCAUCUUCCUCCUGACAUUUUUGGCCCCCAUCGUGAUGAGGGCUUUGUAUGGAGGCCCAUGCAGAAUUUCGAAAGAGCGCGAUCAUUUUUGAGCCAAAAGCCCAAGUGAGAGAAGGCCCAAGACUCAUGCAGCAGCCGGUGGAUUUUGGCCCAUGGGAUCCAGCGGCCCCGAUUAGGCGAUUACUGUUGUGCGAUUAACUCUGAUCUUCGGCUAGUUUCCGUACAGUUCCACGGGAGAGGAUUUGCAAAGUCCUCUGCAUCGACGGGGAAAAAAAUCGACCACCUCUGCAAAAAGGGAACCAUUUACAGUUGCUCUUACAAAUCACCAAGAAUGCAGAUAAGCAACCUUUAGCCUAACAAAUUCCUGCGCCAUUUGCUGUGACGUUGCUUUACGGUGUGGAAACCGCGUGGAACUGGACUGAUGCAGCACCUGACAAGAACGGCCGCGUCACCCCCCGGCUCUAUCCCUCUGCAACGGAACCAAACUGAUCUGAACGCAGAGAUUACCUUCACUCGCAGAGCGAGUCGUUGCUGAUGGCUCCUGCUGGUGCAAAAGCCCGGAAGCAAGAGUCUUCUCUGUGGCCGUCCUGGUACGCGUACAAGGCACAGCCAGCCCGUGGCCCGCCUGAUGCCAAGAUUCCGUUCCGUUUCCUCAGGAUUUGUUUUCUCCCAACAGGCCAGAGUGGCACCGCGCGCGCGUUCCGUUUCCCAUUCCCCCCACCACGACGUGUUCUCCGCGCAGCACUGCCCGCCGUGGAGCCGUGUGCUCGGCCACUCGGCGCCGGCGCCGCCGGUGCUCGGUGAGCGAGCGGGCCAGGUCCGACGCGGCGGGGCUCCCUCCAGUGAGCGAGGACAACGGAGUGGCUAGAGAUGGCAACGGGCACGCGCCCGCUGGGUAUUACUUGCCUAUACUAGUGCCUGUUAGAAUAAAAUACACCCGCUAAGAAACCUAUACCCGCUGCCGGGUACAGAUUAUGUCCUGAACCCGUACCCGCACGGGUGGCGGGUACCCGCGGGCUGCCCGUGCCCGACAAUCUGUUAAGUACUCAACCACUUAGAUGUAUCAGCCAAUAGACACAUACAUAAAAUCGAGACAAUAAUAUAAGAUAAACAUCAAUCAUAAGACUGAUAGAGUGUUUCACAAAUCAUAACACCAUUGAUCACAUCAGACAUCACAAGUUCACAGCUAGAUUAUUAUCCAGUUACUGUCCACCAUCCGUAGCAUGGCACCACUAGUUCACUGCAUUAGACAUCAAACUUCCAAAAUAAACUUAUUGGACCAUAAUAAAAUGAGUAUAUGAUGUGCAUUCUUUAUAUUAUAUCGGGUUUAAAAAACCCGUGGGUUUGCGGGUUCGGGUGCUACGAUCUCAUACCCGUGCCGCGUACUCGCUGGGUACAGAUUAUCACCCAUUAAGAAACCCACGGGUAUAGAUAUUAAUCCGUACUCGUACCGUAAAAAUCCGCCGGAUUUCAGGUGUCAGUUACCCAUUGCCAUCUCUAGGAUCGGUGGACACGGUCGGCCUGUCCCUUUCCAUAAUCUCUUGCCCGGUCCAACCCAACGGCUAUCCCGAGACAAAGGUAGCAUCCAAUGGAGGGACAUUUUUGCUUCUAGGCCCUCUUACUACAUUGAUAUUCAGUAACACGUGGAAUCUGGUUGUGUUUUUCAACGCGCUUACGACAACAAGUGAUUUGACGAAGCACCAGGGCCUGCUGUGCAAACUCUCCCCAACGGCUCGUUCAACCUCCAUGUCGUUUGAUAUAAACGAGUAACGAGUUCGCUCCCUCCCAAAAGAGGCUCAGGAAGAUUCAGCUGCAGCCACCAUCCCGAGGAGCAGGCAGCAGGAGCCACCAAGAAUCAGAGCGCAACGGGAACGGCCUUCCUGCCAUAGCCGCGCCAUCGCCAUGGCCGGCUGCUGCGUCUUCCUGCGGUGGCCGUCGGCGUCGCCGUCCCGCAUCGGCUACCGCUCGCUCGACGACGAGGCCGCGGCCGCGGGCCCAUCCCCGGCGCCGGCGGCGGUGACUGUCGUGGUCGGGAAGGAGAGGCGGGCGUUCUCGGUGGACCAGCUCGUGCUCGACUCCUACCCGUUCCGGGUGCUCCUGGAGACGGUGUCGCGGAAGGAGGAGAGCCGGGGCGGGGCCAUCUUCGUCGACGUGGACGCCAUCCUCUUCGAGCACAUCCUCUGGCUCGCCUGCGACGGCCGCUCCGUCUCGCAGAUCCUACAGCUCGACCUCAAGGAGAUCAUCGACUUCUACGCCCAGGACGCCUGAUUCUCUGGUCCGGCGGCCGGCCGGCCUGCCCGUGCCCGUCCUUGGGGUGCGGCUCCUGAUUUCUUGAUCAGAUUUUUUUAUUCAUUUUGUUCUUCUUCAUCUUAUGUGCUAAUUAAUGUGCAUAUUGAUGAACUUCUGUUACAAUGAUACUGUUGGAAAUACACUGAAGUAUAAACACAUGGCCGGUAGCCAUUUCUGACUGACUGCCGUGCACUUCUUUGGUUAGUACCUGGUCCAUCUGAAGCUUGCUGAUCAGCUUCGUUAACUCUGUUUCUCCUCUUCUAAAUUCUUGUCCAUUUACAGCAAGACGCUGUCAAACAUGCAACGCAAUUAGAAUCUAGGAAGUUUUCGUUCGGGGAUGGAACUUCGUUCUGGUCAUUUUCACUCAUUCUUCUAAAAAACACGUUGUCUGAUGACCACAAGCUGUAUACAAUAAGCUGUCAGCUACCGUCUGAACGUGACGUCCACCAACUCAAAACGUCUUGACCAUUUCGUUCGCACGGUCGGGUGAUCCAACUGUCGACUACCUGACAAAGAAAAUGCAGAGAAAUUGUGAGACGUCCGUGCAUUAUUGUGGGACUGACGAGAGAAAAACAAAGGGCGUUGUUCCUUCCAGGCAAUCACAUCCUUUGGUGUUUACACAAGACUCCAGCUAUUCCAGUUCUGUAUUGGCAUCAAAUCAUCCUCAUCUUGUCGUAAACAAUUCAAGAAGAUAUUGCCGAUGGACCGAGAGAUGUCAGGGAUACGCGUGCUUGUUUCGUUGGGAAUCUUCAGAUUUCCACACCAUUUUGUAUUCCAUUUUUUCUUGAUGAUAUACUACAAUACAGUACUAGAAUUUUGCAUUGCGGUUACUUACUAUUAACGCCUUACUCGUCCAGUCACUGACUGCGUCACCGGAUUAAGUUUUUUAUUCAGUAUAAAAGCCGCCCUACCUGCAUCGUUACUCGUGUGCAUUUCACACCUAGCCCUUGCAAACCAUUGACUUAGCCCAAAUGAUGUUUAGCAGGUCAGGUCACACCCUGGGCCAGUUGAGGACUUGAGGCCCAAACAUCGCCUGGCUAAUGUUUCGGCUAUCUUCAACCGUCGUUCUCUAUAUCGUUCUCUGUAUCCGUCAUUUACAGACUUCUCUACAAAAUUCUCUCCUCUAUAUCUCAUUUCUCUCCAACAACAUUCUCUAAAUCUCGUUCUCUAUACAUUAAACCCUAUAUUAGAAAUAUAUUUUGUUCCAAAUUUUUGUACGUACGUAUUUAUCAUACCUCAAAUACUAUGGACAUAUUUUAUUUUUAUUUAAUCCAGUGUUUAAAACGUAAAGAAAAAAUAGAGAAGAAGAGAGAGAAUCUCUAUAUAUAGAGGAAACCUGUAGCGUUCUCUAUUUUAGAGGACCAUUUAGAUAACGCUGCUGGAGCAUAUAGAGAACGGAAUCUUCUCUAUAUAUACGGUAGAGAACGGUUUAUAGUCUCCUGUUGGAGACAGCCUAAGUGCUGUAGCUUUUGGGAGAGAAGGCACCAUCAUAAUCAGAAGUUAUCAUUAGUGUGGUACCAACCAAAGUAGUUUUGCCGCACAAAAGAAUGUCCUUUGGAAUAAUAACCAGCUCUAACAACCAAAUUGGUUGAGAGUUGAGACGCAGCUUCAGUUCAGAGGAUGACUAGCCAACCUUGUUUGUUUGCACCAGUUGGUUGCACAACUGCCGACUCUUGUUCAAAGUCGUUUUUUUUUUGCUCAUUACUUCUCACCAAAACUGUACCAGUGCUGUCUAUGGUUGCAUCAGGUAGGUAGAGCCACAAAAGCAGAUGAAAUAUUCUAAACCUCGGAACAUAUUGUGUUCUCUUAAGUAUAGCAUCUUCUGGUCCAACCAACAAAAAACUACAAAAUCCUCGGUUAGAAAAAAAAGGUACAAAAGUAUAGUGCUAUUGGAACCAAACUCUGAAGUCUGAACUGUAAAGCCUGCACGCAUCCUAGCAGAAAAGGCACUUUAGGUUUCUGUUACAUGAUGUCCGAAAUGCCUCUACCUGGUCGGAAUGUCAUCAUGAGAUUAUCAUGAGAUUCCGGUUUAAAGGGCAUUUUGCUAGUUUGUAUGAGAUUCCGAUCUAAAGUGCAUUUUGCUAGUUUGUAGUGUACAAAUCGACUGCUCUUAGUCCAUCACGCUGUUUGCGUGAUCCCGAAGCUUGCCCCUGACCUUCGAUCAUCAGUGACCUUCGCCUUCGUAUGGGCUCGAAGGUCGCCCAUGCUGGUCAGUCGACACCAUCAAGAAGUUUAUUGUGGGCGCGCCAUGUGCUGCCUAGAGGCUUGUUCAGACCUUCGGCUUGCAGGCUCCUCCUAGCGAAGGUUCGACAUGGUCUCGUGCUUGCUUGUCUAGCCACUCGGCACCCUCGAACGCAGGCUGCGGGACUUUCCCUGCAUAGAAGAAAGGUGUGGGCUGGCUAACCUUCGGCGAGACAUUCGUGGAGGUGCAAUCCCCAACGGUUUUAGGGAAUAAAAAUAAGCUCCCGUCAUUCGGAUGUUUAAUACCAAUUAGAAUUAUUAAAUAUAAGCUAAUUACAAAAUCGAUUGUAUAAAUGGAGGCUAAUUCACGAGAUGAAUCUAUUAAGCCUAAUUAGUCUGUGAUUUGACAAUAUUGUGCUAUAGCAAAUAUAUGCUAAUGAUAGGUUAAUUAGGUUUAGUAGAUUCAUAUUGUGAAUUAGUCUCCAUUUAUGCAAUUAGUUUUAUAGUUAUAUUAUAUUUAGUCCCUCUAAUUAGCAUUAAAUAUCCGAUAUGACACCAACUAAAAAUAAGUCACCGGUUCAAACGCAUCCUCAACGUGUCCACCACUCUUGCAUGACCUCUCCAGAAUAUUGCCUAUGCAUAUAUGGGGCAUUAAAAACGAACGAAACCUUGCCAACGCGUCCAGCCGCUAACGCUAUCAUCAUCAUGAACGAAUUCAUGAUGGGAAGUUAGGAUCAGUGGCAGUUGGCACCACCACGCUGGAGCCUGGAGGUGCCGAGAGCUUCUGUAACUGUCAGAACCUCUGAACCUCCUGCGUCUCUGUGGACUGUGGUCUCUAAGAACUUCAUGGAAGAAGUAGUCUGAAACCUGCAUCUAGAAGAAGUAGGCCUAGAUAGACAGAUAACCGCCUAGGAGAUGUGGUCCAUGUGGACAGGACGCACGCUGCUUCGUCUCUCUGCAAGUUGCAGCCAUGGAGCGAGCGAAGGAAGGAGGAGCUCGGCAGCUCGCUGUCGCCUCCGAUCAGCAAGGACGCCGGGUGAUCCAACGGACUCUGCCUCUCCAUUUCGGGUCUCAAAAGGCGCUGCGGCGAGCUGGCCACACGGAAUCGCCUAUUUUUCCUGCCCACCAAUCACCAUCCUCUGCUCCCGGAAAGGCAGCUCCGCUUCAGCUCGCAGUCCCACAGAGAGGCAACGCCGUGUGUGUGAUCGAACUGUGAAGCUAUGGCCGGUGGGCCGGGUGAGCCUCCUCGCCACUCACGGGCUUGUGGGCCCAAAUCGGGAAGCAAUCAAUACACCCCAGCGAGUCACCAGCUGUGGCCGCCCGCUGCCCGCUCGCCCGCCUGCCUCCGCAGACGCGUGGACCGGUGGACGGCGUGGUGUGCAACGGGCAGUCAGAGCACGCCAGUGGAGCUCUCGCGGCCACGGCACUGACGGGCCAGGGUUAGCAGGAAGAUUAGCCGCUAAGUCUGCCGUGGGCACCCACUGUUAGCUUGAUACCAGCUGGAUUAGCAUUUCUUUUCUUUUCCUUUUUGCCUCGUCAGCCUAUAUAAUGUCCAGCUCGUCCUCUCCCUCUCCUCCAAACAAUCGCUCUGCGGCGCCCGUGCCUCUCGAAGAAGACAAGUCCAACACUGUUGCUGCGUGACCGCUGAAUUUGCUCCACAGCUUCAUCAGGGAAGACAGGGGUCAGGGAAGACAACUAGACAAGAACACCAGAGGGAGAGAAAGCGAGAGAUCAUCAAUGGAGAACACGAGAGAGGUAACAGCGAUCCCCAUCUCCCUGAAUCGUUCCCAGUAUCUGCUAGCCCGUGAACGAAUCCUCUCUUGCUUCCUGGUUGCUUCUUGAGGAGCUUAGCGCUCGGAUUCCUGCUGUGAUACAUUCGUCCAUGAACUCGUUCUCAGUCUCACCGCUUGCGUUCUUUGGUGCGUGCAGCAGCGGGGCCAGGACGCGGCAGGCGCCAACGGCUGGAUGACGGUGCCGGCGUUCGGGGACUGGGACAUGAAGAACGGCGCGCUGCCGGACUACUCCAUGGACUUCUCCAAGAUCCGUGAGAUGCGCAAGCAGAACAAGAAGGAGCUCUCCCGCGCCAGCCUCGGCGGCGACGAGGACCUCUCCCAGGCCCAGCAGCAGCGCAACCAGGCGCAGGCCAAGGCAGAGCCCAAGCUCGGCCGACCCGCCGACGACCACCGCCGGCAUCUCCACGACUCAUCAACGGUAAAGCUCCCUUCCCUCCAUGCGCCGCGCCAUACUUCGUCAUUUCUCUCAUCGUGCUCACCAAACGGUCAAAUCCGAGGUCCCAUUUCAGAAUCAACCCAAAUUAAAGGAGUAUUUUUUCGCGCAAAUCCAACAUAUUUGCAUUUCGAUUCAUCUGAUGUUAGGUGACGCGCAGAGUAACAACUAGUGUAAAGAUAUUAACUUUCUACCAUGUGACAGGAGUACAGAGUCCAUGUUUAAAUAAACGGUCAAAUUAUCAAAGGAGACAAUGGAGUAAAAAAAAACUAGCAAGUGGCAAAACCAGUUCUUGGAAUGUACCGCAUUACAAUACAGUUAGCACUUCACCACUUCGUAGGUAGCACCUAUGCAGUCUGUAGAAGCUUACUUUCCUGCUGCACUCUUUCUGAAACAGAUUUUCAAGACGGUAUAAUAGUUUCUCAUUAGCAACCAGUUACCGCGUGAGGUUUCAGGGUCAAAAUCGUGCUCCAAAGCAUUGAAAAUCUUACAUGGACGGUAGAACUGAGCAUGUGAAUGUGGGUAGGAGUAGGACAGCAACUUGCAUUUACAUGUGGUAGUACUUGGAACUGGGGUAAUAGUUAAUGUCUUAAAACAAAUGUUCUCCUCUGGUAACUGAGGAUAGGAUGCUCUGCGAGCAUGAUCGUUUUUGUGCUUUUAAAAUGGUGGGAUAUCCUUUUGUCUAAUACUCUGAGGACAGGAUAAAAAGACAAAUGGAGUCAAAUGGGCUCACAGCAGCUCCCUGAUGAUCCGUCUAAGCAUUAGCAUACACUCUAAAUUGUAAUAAGAUGUAGGCACUAGAGAGGUGUGCAUCAAAAUUCUGAAUAACUUCUGAAUGCAGGGUUUAGAGAAAUAAUAAUAUGAAAGAUGCAAAAACCUCUUCCCAGUUAUAAUGAACUGUUAUUAGGAGUUGUACUGAAAUAUAAUUUGGUAAGUUAGAUGAUUGUUUCAAUGUGAGUCGUAUCUGCUGCCCAUAUUGGGAUCAGAGUUGGUUCAAACAACUAUAGAUUUGUUGGCCUGUAUGGACGUGUCCCAGUUUUAUGAAUUAUUCUUUGUUAUAACUGAUUGGAAAGGACGAUUCUUCCUAUUUUCUUAAUGAUAUUCUCCGUAUCUGUAUGCCUUUAGAAAGCUGCGCUGAUGUACCAGCUGUGUCACUGUCCAUAGGGGAAUCUUAGGGAAACUAAUGAUGGGCUGAGUCAGUUGAGGGGAUAAGCAACACUCAGGUUGAGGUUGGCAUAAUGGUUGAAGAAGCAGCAAACUAAGGAUUUCGUUGCCAACAAACUAGAACAUUUGGUCAGUUUGUUGGCAUAUGUUCAUAAUUUUACUCAUGACCCAAUUGCUGCCACAGAUACAAGAUUGCUUGUACUUGUAAAAUAUCAGAUAUGAAAUAGCGCGAUUAACUGAACCUCAAACAAUCGCACGUCUACUUCACUAUGCAUCAGUCAUUUUUCUGCAUAACACUGAUCCAUGCAUCAUGGUUACUGACCUGAAAUUUGUUGACGCAGGGAGGGAAGAAGUUUCUGAGCUACUUCCAGUGCUGUAUCAAGGCCUGAAGAGGAGGAAGUGCUGCCACUGCAUGUGUGAACAAUUAGGUCUCGGUUUUGUUAAAAAUCUAAAAAUGUGUAAUAUAUUUGUCCUGAUGGCUACUCUUUCGGUAUGUAUGAAGAACAAACCAGUUUUAUGGGGGUAACGGUAAACAGCGGUCUCCUUGUACAAGCUGUCAUUGAUUUGUUUGUGACAUGUGGUACAAUGUUACCCUGUAAUCUAAUAUGUUGAAGGGGGGAUUUGGCAUCUGCUCCAUCUUUUUUGUGCGAUUGAGGGCCAUGAUUCGUUUGAAUUGUUUUUGUAACUGUGAUGGGGGAAAUCUAUGGAAAGAAGAAAUGCCCUUGCUCCUUCACUCCAAUUUAUCUGCUCUGUCAGGAACCGAAUUGCGCAGAUUAAGGAUGCAGAACCUGCAUUGUGUUUCUACAUUCUAAUCAUCAGAGCUGGUCACUAUUAUACGACGUUCUUCAGUGCUGUGCUGCGUGGGUUAUGAUGGAUAUGGAGAAUGGUGCACUCUGAAUUUUAUUUUAUUUUGACACGGCUACAUUCUGAAUUGAAGCGGUUUAUCUGAAGCUUGUGUGUGUUUUGAUAAGAAUGUGCUGUAUUGGUUAUGUUUGGAUAUGGCGAACGGUACAUUCUGCGGGCCUAUUUGGCUGGGCUGCGGCAGCUCUAGCUCCGGCUCUCCGAUGGAGCGACUUCUCUGAUGAAGCUGAAGCUAUUUUUGGAAAACAUUUGGCAAAACGGUUUCACCAUAUUUCUCAUGGAUAGAUUGAAGAAGGAAAUAUCCAUAAUGCCCUUAUAUCUUUUCUUCUUAUUUCUUUUCCUUCUUAUUUUUUAAUCCUUUCUCUCUAUUUUCUUUUCUUUCCAUCUUCUCUUUCCUUCUUAUUCUCUUCUUCCUUCGUUUCCACACGGCUUCCGUCCCCCAGCCGGCCGCGUGGCCUCCCGCCGCUUGGCCUCCGACGUAGCGGCUCUCGUGCCGCCGGCCGCGCCCAUCACUGCGCGAGGAGCAGAAUGCACGAAGAGGCUGCGAGGGCAAAGAUGGCAGCGGGAUGCGGGCGUGCGUCCGGGCGGAGCCACGAUUUCUAGCUCCAGCUCGUCCAAUCCGCUCCACUAAGCGGGAUUUUAGAAGCUUCAAGGUUGAAGCUGCUAGAGAAUACACCAUUUGGAAGGACUCUUGUGAAGCCUGUUUUAGAGCUCCUCAGGAAGUCCUGCCAAAGGGGCUAUGCUUCUUAUUUGAAGCCCAGUUAACACGCUCCAGCUGAUUCGAAUGGUGCAGUGAUAUCCGAACAUGUAUGGGGAAAAAUUGCUGGAACGACGAUCAAGUUAGCGCAUGAAAUGUUUCCAAUUUUAAAUGGGGAUUCAACUGAUCUUUUGAAAUCAACGAUAUUCCAAACGUACGUCCUCAGACGACAAACCUGGACUUCACCUAUCUUAUCCGGAUAGGGCCCACUUGGCAGUCUCUGAAAAAUCCCCAAGGCUGCAGAACCCUGAACGGCUGCAUCGCUCGCGUCGCGCACCCCCACAGCGGCUCAUCGACGAGGCAGCGAUGGUGGGGCGAAAGCCGAUGCGCCGCCGCAGAACUGAUCGGCAGCCUCCUCCUCCUCCGCCGCCGCAGUCCUUCGGUGCCACGGCUCGCCCGACCUCCCCACGUUCGUCCGCCUCCGCCGCCGCGGUCGCCGCCGACCUGGACGAGCUGCUGCUCACGGCGCCGCCGCCGUCGGCGUCGGAGCCCCGGAGCUUCUCGUACGCGGUGAAGCAGCAGUGCUGGGAGAAGGCGGAGCGAGUGCCGGGGCGCGACCCGGAGAGGUGGCGCCGCGACGCGCUCGGCAACAUCGUCUUCCGCAAGCUCGUCGGCUGCCCCGGCUGCCUCUGCCACGACUACGACCACAUCGUCCCCUACUCCAAGGUCUCAGAUUACAACUGCACAACUAGUUCCUGAAACGCUGUUUUGCUGUUGUUUUUGUGCAUGUCCGUGCGAAAAGCCUGGGAAUCCAACAGCUCCUGGACAGCAAUAAGUCUCAGCUUCAAAUAUUUUUAGUUCUUCUAGAUCGUAUAUGCGGUUUUGUGGUGACGUUGUAUCAGCAGAGCACUGACCCUGUAAAAUUUACAGGGCGGGAAGAGCACAUUGGAGAAUUGCCAGGUUUUGCAGGUACGCCAUAUCUAUUCUGCGGCGCAAUUGAGAAUUACUUGAACAGACAAAUCACACGCACAAAAAAAAAA